Molecule: long non-coding RNA, 58540 nt
Filed under: Triticum aestivum (bread wheat)
Lineage: Eukaryota; Viridiplantae; Streptophyta; Magnoliopsida; Poales; Poaceae
Description: long non-coding RNA (TAES_LNC021188)
Source: RNAcentral
UGAAGACAACGUAAUGGAUGAAUUUGCUUAUCACCGGAAAUGGAAGAGACCCAUGGUAGAAUGGCACAAUGGCGGUGCAAGCUGGGCACAGAAUGCAAAUGCUGGGAAUGAUUCUGGUAACUGGGGGAAGAACCAAACAAUAGAGAGUGAAUUCACUGUUUGAAAGGUCAUAUCAUUGCCGAGGAAACUGAGAGGAAUCCCAGUUAGUGCCGAAGAUAACACCUAGCGCUUGUGCGUGCUCUCAAGAACUUGAGCAUUUCCACAAUCAUCAAGGUUUUACCAACAUCCGUGUCAAGGAUCCUGGCAACACAACUUGCUACCAUGAUGAAUGAUGAUGGAUGAUGCAAAUGCAAAGAAAGAUAACACUUUCUCAGAUUUCACCUUAGCGAGGCCAAGGAAAUAAAAUCUGGAUGAUCGACCGAGAGACAUUUAGCACUCCGCUUCUAAUGUUCUCCUUGAUGUGCUAGUGUAUCCCAUUCAUAGAUAUGGUUUGAUAACUAGAACAUCAAGUAAAAGGUCGGACUUCGGGAGCAAUAGAAUCCAUAAGGAACAGUUACGGAGGUAAAUCCUACAAAAUCCUUAUGGGGAGGUGGCCAACUUCUUCAAUCAAGAUACUACAAUAAUAGGUCUUUCGGCUGGGUGGUGCUGGCCACGACAUCCACUUUACCAGUUAUCGAGGAACCAAUAUUAUAGUUCUUGGGGAAAUGUUCCAACAAUCAUAUCUGCCUGAGAUUCAGAUCUGGUUGGUGUCAGAAUAUUCCAGACCCAUCGAGUCUAGGAAGAAAAAUGAAAGUUUGCAACACAAAUCGACGAGAUGACGUUGCGGGAUUCUCGGGAGAUGAACUACGAUAGCAAGCUCCAAAACAUGAGUUGGUUCUACUACAAACAUGUGAACACGUUGUCCCAGACAAGCAUGCCCACAUGGUAGUCUUACAAUAAAACACUACCGAGUUCUGGUUGGGAACCAUCAGCGAGGAUAUCGAAGUUCUUUCAUAAGUCCGGAUUAGCUCUUAUGAAGAUACUCCUUCUCCUUGAACAAAUCAGUCAGUGGCUUGGUGUGCUAGGAUACACAUAUGGAAUGAAGGUUGCAAGUCUCCAGAACACAGAAUACUUCGCACGUGUGCAUGACUGAUUUGGGGAUGAUUCCAAAGGAAACAAAACAAUCUUCCUCGAAUUCACGACGGCAACUUACAUCAAAUGCACGUGAAUCAAAGGAAGUCACUUCUUUCAUCCAAACAUAUACUUCAUGAUCGGGGCAUGAAGAAAAUGCUUACACAAGUGUCCAACACUAGGUUGAUGUUCAACAUGAUUCAUGGGGGGAGACAAAAUGCUACUGAUGGGCUCAACAACAACUCAUCGGAAUUUCCAUAUCACUGGACUUCCACCAUCAUGUGAACACGGUGAUAGCAUUGGUCAGACCAAAGAUGUAAUGGUGUAUGCUCGAGGGAUCAACCACGAGUAAGACAACAUUACGAACAUCGUUGGUACUGAUUUGAUUUGACGAUAGCCCACACUCAAAUCAAAGGAUUGAUAAGACAAUAGGUCCAGCAACUGACCACAGGGACCAAUCGAUGAAGAUAUCAUCUUUCUUCAACACACACUACACAAGAAUAUCCCUUUGGAACGAACUAAGUCAGGCAAGCUUUUAUCUUCCAACUCUCCAAGUUGUUGUCUAGCUUAACCAACUAGCUCAGGGAUAUCUAACACAGAUUCUUGGAGAGAAGGUGGUUCACAAGAAACCAACUUGAUCACGAGCCCAACAUAACAGUCAGGAAAUAACCCGGUAACGCUUCCAAGAAGAUAUUUGGAAAGUCACGAACCACUGGUAUGUUACUAAGCUCGAGAACAAUCUUGCCUUUCAGGGCAAGACGAUAUGAUCAAAUGAGCGAGGGAUUGAAAGAAAAUCCUAACUCAAUGAUCGGAGAGUGCACCAGAAAUAAGGACUAGGUAGCACAAUCAACCUUAGGGUGACGAUUCAAUAAUCAACACGCUAAGAAUGAGGUUAUCGUCCAUUUAACUACCAAGCAAUGGAGUUGCUAGCAGUAUUGAUUUCACACACCACGAUUCACUUGUCGGCAUUCCGGUUACGGUAACACAGGAACCGAGGAAUGAACAAUGAUGGCAAGAAGUAUCACUGUACCAAGAGUUCAUAGGAUGGUGUGCAAUUCCUUUAACAAUCCCGAUAUAAGAUGGUAAUACUCCAAGGUAGAGCAGAGCAAAAGCAAGAUUAGCAAUUUGAUCUGCGGAGUAUGACUUCUUUGACCCAAUCCUGGAAAUGGAAGAGGUACUGGAGUUUGUUUCUCCUAGUAAUUCUGCGAUAGAAUGGCUUGACGGACCACAAGAGUAAUAGGCAUCGAUAAACGAACGCACGCAUACUCUUGACUAUCAAUUGAUAGACGAGGGUCAGAAUGCAACUAAAGAGAACAACUCAAAGGAACAUAUAAUUUUCUGAGUUGUGGAUGCAUAGAUUAGUAUGUCGAACCAAGUUCAACAUAUUUUUUUUCCGGAUAACCCAUGCAGAAAGGUUGAACUGGCAGAGCCACAAUAUAUAAUGGAGAACUCAUCAAGAGCACUCUGGUUGUGAUUGUUCAGUUCAACGAGGAACUUCUGCCAUAAGUAGUUCAUGGUAUUUGGAAGAAGAAGAUACCACGGACUUCAAGGACUAUCGCAAAGGUUACUAAUAACCUAAGGGAGCUAGCAAUACUAUCAACAUGAUGUAAGUAGGGUGAAUCUCGGUUCGAAAACCCAAAAGUGAAAUGCCUACUAACUAAGUGGCAUCACGGGAUGCUUACGAGAAUGAUGGCCAGAAUCUUCACACUGGGAACACAAAACAUUGCUAGAUUACUAGGUGACUCCCUAAAACACCUAGGGUCAUAAUAGUAGCUCCAACAUAUAUGUCAAGGUAAUAAAGUACCUCAACUCACUGAUUUGUGUGAUUAAUCUCACCAAAGGCACAUCGGAAACAGGAGGAAGGGAUUUGCAAAUGCAUCCGACUAUUUAGAAACCUGGGAUGACUCGGACAGCAUAACGGCUGUAAAUGCUCAAAAAAGAUUUGAGACAUUCACAGAAAUGGUGGCAUAACCACUCAGAAGCACAAUAUCAAGGUCUCGAGAUCAAUAAUUAACAUACGGAAGUCGUAGGAACUGAACUCAAGCUCAAAUCCAACAAUCUUAUAAGUCUACGGAUUAGUAACACGUGAUCCUGAUAGAAAGAAGAGAUAGCCUAGUUCUUAAACCCCGUAGGAAAGAUAAGAUGACUCAGAUCAGAAGGCAUAAGGUAUAAGGAGUAAAAAGAACCUUACGUUCCAUCCCACAAUCAAUUCCCUUAUAUAACUAAAGAAUUUCUAGACUCAACUUCGACCAGUUUGGCUUGGUAAUCCUACAGGCAGUCAAGCUCUGAUACCAACGCUGUCAGGACCCCGACUCGAUGCCACAUAGGUCUAGCAUGUAACACCUCAUAUCACUUUGCGGCCUCACGCACGGUAUUCCCACGGGUGUCGCCUUACCUUUGCCCGGGACCAUUUGCGCCUUUUGGCACACGUAUAUGAUAGUGUCGCUAGCACCCAUAUGAUAAGGAGCCCGGGCUGACAUGGCUAGUCGUAAACCCAAAGUGGCACAGACUUACAGGGACAGGCAUCCAUGACCCAGCAUCGAACGUGUCAGUCAUCAGCGGGUGAAUCCAGGCUGUAGCACUGGGCUAGCAGGACUCCGGUGAACCGGGCUGUAGCGGGCUAACAGGACUCCGGUAUUCAUCGCGUGACAUUUCCCCGAAGGGACAGACACAGGAACGAAGAAGGACACAUGCCGGCCAGCCUAAGUGUUCCGAAGCAGUAGCAAGCUACCAUGGCUCAGUGAAACACUAGGAGACAUUUCCCCGUAAGAGAGGCUACUAAAGAUAAACAACUAGAUGGUCAGAUCCCACACAUACCAAGCAUUUCAAUAACAUACACACAAUAUGCUCGAUAUGUGCAAAUACAACAUGGCAUCACAACAUGACUCUACGACUCAAGUAAUUAUUCAAUAGGCUCCGAGGAGCGAGAUAUUACAAACAUGGGUCUCAUGACCCAACAAUCAGAGCAUACAAAUCAAAGCACAAGCGGAAGCUAUCAUGUCUGGGUACAGACAUCCAUAACUGAAAAAGGCUAAGAAGCCUGACUAUCUACCAGAUCCUGCCGGGGCACAAGAUCGUAGCUGAGGUAACAAGCUAAACGUCGAAGUCCACGCGAAACUACUAGUGAGACCGAAGUCUCUCUGCAAAAACAUAAAAUAGGCAAACGUGAGUACAAAUGUACCCAGCAAGACUUACAUCAGAACUAACUACAUAUGCAUCAUUAUCAACAAAGGGGAUGGUGGGGUUUAACUGCAGCAAGCCAGCUUUGACUCGGUGGCUAUCCUGAACUACGACUGCAAGUAACUCUUUGAGGUGGCGCACACGAGUCCACAUAUUCACCAUAUCAAUACACCACUAUGGAUCCGCUCCCGUCUCCCUACGAGAACGCCAUCCAUAGCACUCACGCUUAUCUUGCGUAUUUUAGAGUAUCCACUUUCACUUGUCUAUGAACUGAUAUAAGCAACCCAGAAGUCCUUUACCGUGGACACGGCUAUUCGAAUAGAUGAUGUUAACCCUGCAGGGGUGUACUUCUUCAUACAUGUUUCCACCACUUAGCGUCUGCACACGACAUGUGCUCGGCAGACUUCAAGCGAAAGCCGACGUGGGUGUAGACCACGACCUACCUAAACACUCAAGUCUCUAGUCCAGGUUUAUCGCCUAUUCGGGUUCCAUCCAUGAGGAGAUCCGGCCGGAGUUUCACUCACAGCCCCAAACGAUGUGAACAGGGUUCCGUGACACCAAACGGGCGCCCGGUAUACCCGGCCACGUGCCUACCGCAUCACAGCCCACCCCUACGGUCAGCGCUGUCCACGGCCUCCAGCAUACUACAAACACCAGAAACUACUUGCAACUCCUGGACAGAGGACAAGGGUGAAUAAGAAGUCGAGCGGGGUCAUAUUUCAGGGCCCAAUGUAUGGUAGUAGCUGAAUCAUGGAUCACAAACACAGAACUCAGUUCCUGAGGACGGCUGCAAUGAGACAACCCACCAUGUACUCCUACAUGGCCUCUCACCGAUACCUUUUACCAAAUCGUGUUCACACACUUAGCUCACACAUAGUAGGACAUGUUCACACACCUCUGAUUCAUCCCCGAUGAAUCAGACCUGACUCAACUCUAAGCAGUAGCAGGCAUGACAAACAAACAUGAAUGAGUAGGCACAACAGGGCUCAAACAACUCCUACUCAUGCUAGUGGGUUUCAUCUAUUUACUGUGGCAAUGACAGGUCAUGCAAAGGAUAAAGGGGUUCAGCUACCGCAGCAUGUAACAGUUGAAUCGGUGUUGUCCUAAUGCAGUAAAAGAGAGCAGGAGCGAGAGAGUGGGAUUUUAUCGGAAUGAACAAGGGGGUUUUGCUUGCCUGGCACUUCUGAAGAUAACAUUGAGUCUUCAUCAGUGUCAACGAUCACAUCGUCGGUAUCACGUCUAUCGAGAGGGAACAGAUACUGGCAACAAAGAAGAAAUACAAUCAAUGCAAUGCACAAUAUGAUGCAUGCUCAUGACAUGGCAAUAUGAACGUGUUUUGAGCUAAUGCAACUAGCAACAGAUUAAAUGAAGUUGGUUUGAAUACAAGAUUCAAAUUCAAACUCCAUAUGUGAUUAUUCAAAUGCCAUUUAAUUGAUUUGUGCUAAACAGCAGCUAUAAGUUGUUCUAACAUGCAUGAAAAUGGUACAGAUGGAUUCCUUGAAUUUAUCUGAUAAUUUUUCAUAUAUAAAUUAUUUAAUUUGGAGUUACGGUUGAAUUUAUAUGAUUUAUAGAAGUUUAUACAAUUUUCUGGAAUUUUCUGAAUAAAAAUAAAUCCAGAAAACAUUACUGCGUCAUCCUGACGUCAUGAUGAUGUCAGCAGGUCAACGUGGCACAGUCCGGUCAAACCCUGACCUGUGGGUCCCGAGUGUCAGUGUCUAACUAAACUAACCUAGCUUAGUUAAUACUAACCUAACUUAAUUAGCCGGGCGGGGCCCGCAUGUCAGUGAGAGAGAGGGGGGUCAAACCGGCCAGUGGGGUCAAACCCGGGUCAAACUCGCCGGAGUUGACCCGAGGCUCGUCGCCGGCGAGGCCAGGGACGGCGGAGAGCGUCGGGAUUCUCCCUCCGAUGACCAAAAGAGCGGCGGAGGGGCUCUACGGAAUGCCCAGGCUCGCGCGCAUCUAACAGGGCAAACGGGAGAAGCUAGGGUGGAUAGAGGCGACGGCAAUCAUGACGACGGCGGCGGCAGAGUUUGGGUGGUGGCGGGUUUGGCGCUACGAGCGGUGGUUUGGCGCGCCGAGGGCACUAGGGAGAAGCUCUUGCUCCUCCGCAUCCAAAGGAACGGACGGGAGGCCGCGAGGUGGCCGGAGUUGAGCACGGCGUCGACCUCGGCGGCGGCCGGAGCUCGGGCGAGCUCGGGGUCGGUGUUAGGGAGCACGGCAGGAGGCGUUGUGGGUGUCUACGGGUUCAUGCGAUCGUGCUGAGCACGAUGGUGGGCUCGGGAGCGAGCUGUGGUGGCUGUGGCCACGGUCACGCCAUGGCCGGCGGCGAGAAGCUUCGGUCAUGGUUGGGGAUCGGGGCUAGAGCUCGUGAAGGAGGACGAGGGAAGGGGGAAUCGGGUCAAAGGCUCACCGUGGAGCUGCAGGGAUGGUUAGAGGGCUCGGGGGCGCGCCAGAGUGGCCGAAUCGACGGAGAAGGGCGCCGGGGCCGAAGCUUGGAGAUGAUGACGAUGGCGGCUGCUCGGGGCCCUUCUGGUCGCGUGAGACGUCGAGGAGGUCGAGGGAGGCACUGCGGAGCUCGGGAGCGCGUCGGGGAGGAGAGGGGGUGGCGGUGGCCGCGAGGGCAGCGAGGGUCAGCGACGGUGGCGCUCGGCCGGUUGUGUGCGAGAGGGACGGAGAAGGGGAGGGGCGAUGGGAGAGGUCGAGGGGGUUCCAGGGGGGUGCGUGGCGUCACCGGGGCGUCGAGGAGGAGCCAGGCAGGCUGGGAGGGAGGAGGUGGCCGGGGCGCGUGGCCGCGCGCGCCACCGAGCAGCUUCGGGGCGAGGGGGAGGAAGACGACAGGGGGAGAAGCGGCGGUGGGCUGGGCCGCUAGAGGAGUUGGGCCGGCUGGGCUGAGAGGUGAGCGCCAGGUAAGUCUUCUCUCCUCUCUGCUUUUAUUUAUCUAUUUUGUUCUGUGUUGUUUUAGUUUAGUAAAAUACUAAACCAUUUUAUAAAAUCCUAAAAAUAGUUAUGUGGCUAGAGCUAAAAUAUACCAAACCACAUAAAAAUGUUCCAGUAUUAUUGGACAUAUAUUAUUUAUAUAUCAAAUAUAUAUCCAAUGCAAAUAGUUAUUGAAUUAAUUCAAAGGCCCCAAAAUAAAUGUUUCAGUCACUCCAAAAAUAUUGGUUUGCAUUUUAUUCUUGCCAAUAUUUUUCAAAGCUGAAAAGGGACAUUUCCUUGGAAGCAUUUGAAGCAAUUUUUAAUGUUGAUCAUCAUUUUUAGAAGGUUUCUGAGGCUUAGAAAAUUCCCCAAUUCAAAUUUCAUUUGAAUUUAAACAUGAUGCACACAUGAGGGUCUAGCCUAGUGCAUAACAGGACCAGGGAUGUGACAGUAGGUGCGACAUAUGCCAAUGGGUGGCUUAUCAUUGUGGGAGCCAGUAAGACAUCGCCGGUGCCUGGAAGCGGGAUAAGGCGAAGACAUGCACGCCGGCGGAUCUUACCCAGCUUCGGGGCUCUCCGUGGAGAUAACACCCUUACUGCUGCUCUGCGGGGUCUCCGCAUGCUCACUAGAUGAAUUAAGUAACUACACAACGCUCCUUGAGCUGUUUGGGGGGAGGAGGAAGAAGGGCACGGCUAGCCUGCUUCUACUCCCUGUGUGGUGUCUAGAACUAUCGGGGGUCGAACCCUUUGCAUGGGUGCCCCAGGGGUUUUAUAUAGGCCUACCCCACGGGGGUACAAUGGUAAUCCGACUGGGCGCGGGGCCCAGCCGUCUGUGACUGCGCUCGCCGGCUUCUGCGCCGACUGCUAGGGCCCGCCAACUGGUGGGUCCCGCCGGCUGCCGGCACCUUGGUCGACAGGCAGGUCCCACUGUCCAGGGCCUGGUCGGCGGCUGGUUACUGUGGCUUCAUCUUGUUGACGUGAGCUUCAUCGUGGUAAACAUGGCUACAGUACCGCCGCCUGCGAGGCGAUCGUUGUAGCCUUACCGCGUCUUGUCUCCUUAAUGGGGCGUCCUCUUUGAGGAAAGCGGCAAGCCGGCUGCGGGGAGCCGGCUCUGUCUUGGGCCGACUGGUGGGAGGUGUGGCCGCCUUCGGGCGUCUCUCUGCUCAAAGGGGCCCACCGCCUGUGGGCCGCGCUGGCGGCCCGUCGUGGGUGAUGCCAGGGUCAGCAUGGCAACAGUGCCGCGCGGGACGGGUCAUGCCUACCCCGUACGGUGCACUGCGCCAGGCGUGCUCCGGGAUUCGGGGGCGGCAGGCUUUACUAUAGCCACGCCCCGUCGCACCGCCGUUAGGUGGGUGCAAACUUUCGUGGGUACGGCCUUGACCACUUUAGGGGGAGCCGGCUUCUUGGAGUCCGCCUUCUCAUGGCCGGCUUCUUGGAGUCGGCCUUCUCAUGAGGGCUAAAGUCGGACCGCCUUCCGAAAGCCGGCCUGGGUGGCAGCCAGCAAGGGGAAGGCGGCCCCUAUGUCUUGAAUUCUUGAGAGCCGGGCGGGCUCGUAACUUUUUUCAGAAGGGCCAGGGGGAGCCGGCUAGGCUACCCAUGGCUAUUUACUCCGACAGUAGUCCCCAAAGCUGAUCGAGCUCCGAGGCGAGCAGGGGGACGAGAAGCUUGGUCAGCUUCCCAUCCUGAAGAGCCGGCUUUGCGAGCGUACGCCGACUUCAGAGAGCCCCGCAUCUUACAGGCGGGAGGAGGGGGGUCCUGCGCGCUGACUAUGCNNNNNNNNNNNNNNNNNNNNNNNNNNNNNNNNNNNNNNNNNNNNNNNNNNNNNNNNNNNNNNNNNNNNNNNNNNNNNNNNNNNNNNNNNNNNNNNNNNNNNNNNNNNNNNNNNNNNNNNNNNNNNNNNNNNNNNNNNNNNGGGACGCCGACGCAGGCCCGGGCCCGCCACUCGCGAGCCUUGGUCCGGGCGCGGAUCUUCCGUGGCCCACAGGGGCUGCUCGCCUUCUCGAGGCAGUUUUGUUUCGCCGUUAAGGCUCAAUAAUUGCAGGACGUGGGGAGUGGGCACGAUCGAUCCCCACGCUUCCCCACGCCGCGCCUCCUCGGCUCCGCCACGUGAGCCUAUAAGUAGGGGGAGGAGGGAGAGCGACAGAGGUUCGCACGCUCUCUCCCGCUCCGCCCCUCCUAACCCUCGUUUCUUCCUCUCGCUGUCGCCGCAGCUUCCCGUCUCAGCGUCGUCGCGUCCCUACACCGCCUUGCUCCCAUGGUGUUGUCAAGCUCGUGGGACGGCUCCAACAUCCAUGACGACCAUGUGGAGUUCCUCCGCCAGACUCGGCGCCUGCCCGGCGCCGACCUCGUGCAAGUCCGCCUGGCGCCGGCGACGGAGAUCUCGCCGGCGCCGGAGGAGGGCGAGCGGGUCGUCUUCCACUCGCACUGCCUGUGCGGCUUCGGCCUUCCGGCGAGCGGAUUUCUGCGCUCCUUCCUCGACUUCUACAACCUCCAGCCGCAUUACCUCAUGCCUAAUGCGGUGAUACUGCUGUCGGCCUUCGUCUCCCUCUGCGAAGGCUUCUUGGGGCUGCUCCCCACGCUGGAGCUCUGGGGGGAGUUCUUCCAGAGCAAGCUCGGCACAGUCGUCGCCGGCGUGCCCGCCCCCUGCGGGGCCUUCAUCGCCAUGAGGAGGGCGAGCGAGAACAACCCGUUCCCGCCCAUCCCCCUCAUCCAGUCGGUGAAGGUCUGGCAAAAAUCGUACUUCUACGUGAAGAACGUCGCCGAGCAAGGAGACUACAUCAACCUGCCGGCUUACGUAGCCGGCCCACCGGCUGGGAGGCAGCCCUCGUGGAGUUUCCGGUCCCGGUCACUGUCUCCGGCCGGAAACGCCGCCAUCUCCCGGCUUCGGGUGAUGAUUCAGUCGGAAGGCCUGUGCGGGGCCGACUUGGUGGCCGCCUUCGUGGAGCGCCAGAUUCUCCCUCUCCAAAGCCGGCCCCAUAUGAUGUGUCAGAUGAGCAGCCGCUUCGACCCAAGCCGGCUGAGCACAUGGGAAAUGCCCCACGCGGAGGUGGCGCUCAUGGUUAAUUACAUCGCCAACUGCAAGCUCGGCGGGGACUGGCAAUACGGCAAGGCGCCGUAUUCUCGCGCCAAUCCUCCGCCCGUGGUAAGUUUCUCUCUUUAUCUUCUUUUUGUCGUCAGCCGGCUUUAUGACGGCCGGCCUCUGACCAGUCGGUUCUUUUGAGCAGAACCCUCUUCUUGCGCCGCCGGCUGGGGCGGCGGGAAUUGAACGCCAGUAUACCCCCGACCGCACGGUGGAUGAUGUUGAUGACCCGGACUUGGGGGCGGCUGCCAUGGAAGACGCCGUCGUGGGGGACAGUGCCGAGCCCGGAGGCUCAAGGUUCACCGCGAGCUUCGAGGACUGGCCGGACGAAUUCGAAGCCGAAGUCGCCCUGCUUCGCCAGCCGGCGGCCGACCAUCAGGGCGCGGGCUCGUCUAUCGCGCCGGCUGCCGGCGGCGGCGCACAAAAGCGCCGGGCCGCUUUAGGCCUCUUCGGCAGUCGGCCGAAGAAGUCCAAAGCCUCCGCCGCGGCGACCAAGCGAGACGAGGCGGCUGCGAAAGCGGCCUGCUUCCGCAAGGCGGUGAAACAGCCUCCGGCGGUCUCAGCGUAAGCCUUCAACUGCCUUGCCGCAUGCUCGUCAUCAUUCUCUUUCUCUUCAAAUAUUCUUCUUAACUUUUCCUCGCUUCCUGGACAGGGCGCCACUUUCCCUUGAGCAGGGUCUGGGCGGCUCCGUCGUGGGGCCGGCUGGAGGGUCUUCGAGCUCCCGUCGCGUGGACCCCCGCGCCGAUCUCAGGGAGGCGACAGAGCGGAACGCCCGCGAAGCGCGAGCGCGAGGCAGCGCAGAAGGCGGCCACCUAGGCGGCGAGGGAGCAGGCCGAAGCAGCAGCCAAGGCCCGGAGACGGAGGCGGAAAGCUCGCGCAGCCAGCCUCCGCUGCUCGCCAUUCCUCUUCGAGCCGUAGCCCCCGACACCCCAUUGCCCUUGGCAGAGGAGAUCGUCCAAGACCCGCCACUGUUGGAGAGGGGGAAGACCCCGUGGCCUUACCGGGGAGAGCGCCGCUAGCAGCGCCAACCGGAGCGGGCCAAGGCGGUCAAUCGUCAGCGGCACCAGAGGGGCCGGCCGGAGGUGAGCCGGCCUUGAGCUGCAGCCGGCGACAGGCCGGCGCGCAGGGAGAGGUGUCGCUCCACCGGAGUUGCGCCGAGCCGCGGCCGCAGACCAGUUGGCGGAAGAUCUGGAGGCGGCUAGCACUGCCACGUCCGAGUGGACUCCCAGCAGGGGAACUGGCCAGCUGAAUGUGGCGGCUCAAGGGGUCUGGAGCUGGCUGCAAGCUCAGGCCGCCCUGCUGCAACAGUUCACCCAGGAGUUCUUGUCAACGCGAGCCACUAUCCGGGUGAGUCCUUCGUUCUUGGCUACUUUGCUUUCUUAAUUUCUUCCGUGGGGGCGCGUCAGCGCACCCACUGGGUGUAGUCCCCGAGAUUCGGGCCGACUGCUGCGCAGUCGGGUCGGAUCUUUCUCGACGGCUAUCUUACUUUGCUUUUUCUGAACUUUCAGGAAUACCACAACCUUCGUGCUGCCGCCUUCAACUCCCAGGCUCGGGAGUUGAGCCGGCGGACCGACGACCUGGCCGACAGCCGAAGUAAGCACUUGGUUUGGUCUGUCUCCUGUGGGGGCGCGUCAGCGCACCCACUGGGUGUAGUCCCCGAGAUUCGGGCCGACUGCAGCGCAGUCGGGUCAGAUCUUUCUUGACAACUCUUUCUUAUUGGUUUUUAUUUUUCUUUGUCUUCAGGGGCCAACACCGACUUGAGGAAGGAGCUUGGCGAAGCGAAAGCCGCCCUUCAUACCAAGGAGGCCGAGUGCGCCGCCUUGGUCCAGGAAUGGGAUCGCUUAGCCAAGAAGCUGGCUGACCAAGAGGAGAGCCACAAAGCGGCCCUGCAGGCGGCGCAGGAAAGUGAAGCCGCCUUGAUGGCGGAGUAUGAGAUGGCGGAGGCGAGCUGGUCUGAGACCCGGCGAGCCCUGGACGAAAGCUUCGGCCGGAUAGAGGACUUGAUCGACAGUAAGCUGCCUUCCUCGGCCCUCCCCUGCCCCUUGCCGCUUGGGUUUUUUGACUUAUCUUGAAUUGUUGCUUGUUUUUGGUGCAGACUACUUCCCCGGCUACUCCGCCUUCGCCGCCCAAAGCAUUGAGGCCCAUCGCGAGGCGCGUCGACAGGCGGGAGCCAACAAAGUGCCGGAUGCAAACCGGACACUUGAGGAGCAGCUCCUGGCUAUCCAGGCGCGGUUGCAGCCGGCUCAUCGGAUGCUUCGCCGGCUCCAACGUGCCGGGGCACAAGUGUUGGCCACCCUCUGGCCCGGCAAGACGAUCCCCCGCACCCCAAGCCGAACUGCCGAUUGGCUGGAGGUCGCAGUUGGUCGCUUUGAGGCUUGGAAGGCGUCGGCGGCCCGCCUCGGAGCCAGGCGGGCGUUGGAGUUCGUUCGGGCUUGGUACCCUGGGCUGAGCCUGGACCAGCUGCGCACUUGGCGGAUGGAGGCCGACGCGGAGCUGGAGGAGGUGAGGCCGGCUAUCGCCCAGCGAGCUUCGACGAUCGCCGAGUGCACCGACAUCAGCGUUUUCGCACCCGAAAUCGAUGAUGACGGUGUUGCUCAGCCGGAGGAGUGGUUCGGGAUGAACCCGGCGGUGGGCGAGGACUCGGCGGAGGAGAUUGCCUCCAGCAACGAAGGCGAGGAUGACGAAGAGGAGGACGGCGAAGACGUCGAGCCGGCUGGUGGAACAACCGGCCGACCUCAGGCCGACCGCGCCUCCAGCAACGAGGCGCGUGGAAGCGCGCCCUCUGCGGGAGGCGGUGACAAAGCCAAAGUUCGCCAGCCGGCCGCUCCUUCAGCCGGCACGACCGUCUCCGGCAACCAGUCUGGCUCGUCGGCCGCUCCGCCAGCUUGACCUGCCGUCUUUAUCUUUCCUUCCUUGUUGUCUUUGAACAAUCUUUGUUAAGUUUUCGCAGUUCCACCCACUGGGGGUGUAUCCAAACUAUGCUGAAUGCUGGCCUCUCGGAGGUCUUUUUAUGUAAAUAUUAUCAUGUGCAUGUUUGGUUUCCAUUCGCGUAUGCUUUUUUAUCCUUAGGCUUUUUCCUUUGCCGCCUUCCCUCUUUGGGGAGGCAAGUACUUGAGCUUUCUUGGAUUGAAGUGAAGUGAAUGGAAACCAGCCGGCCGGCUACUCUGGUAGCCAGUCGGCGGUGUGAGAAAAGCCGGCUUUUGUUAUAUUAGUCCGUUAGUCCCUAGCCGUUUUUUGUGUGGGCGCCUGUUCCUGCCUUUAACUCUUGCCAGCCGGACAGCCGGUUCUUCGAACUGCGACUUUUGGCAAGAGAAGGCUUGGGAGUCGGCACACUACUUGUCUGACUGUGGGUAGGACUUCUAACAUAACUCCAGUCGGUGAGUCCCCAAGCCGACUAGUCGAACUCGGUGCCGGACAGAAUAAGUAAAUGACACGACAAGGUCAUAAGCAUGAUACUAUUCAUUCAUAAAUAAGGGAUGGCAGUCCCCGAGCCCUCCUCGGGGAGCCUAUUGUCUUGUACUUAAUACAAAGGUUAGCGCGGUACAUACUGCAUUUCAACUGUAAAAUCUUCGGAGGAGGUUGGCGUUCCAUGGUCGUUCCGACUCCUUGCCGGAGUCGUCUCUCUUGCGCGCCUUCGGCUUCUGUGCGUCGAUUAGGUAGUAGGAGUCGUUGCCUAGAGCUCUACUGAUGACGAAGGGGCCUCCCCAAGGGGCUGAGAGCUUGUGCUGGCCGGCUGUUCGCUGGAUCAGCCGGAGCACAAGAUCACCCUCUUGGAAGGAUCUUGGCCUGACCUUCCGGCUGUGGUAGCGGCGCAGACCCUGCUGGUAGAUGGCAGACCGGCUGAGGGCUAACAGUCGGCUUUCUUCCAACAGGUCGACGCCGUCUUCUCGUGCUUCCUUGGCCUCCGCUUCCGUGUACGUGGUUACUCGAGGCGAGUCAAACUCGAUGUCAGUUGGGAUGACCGCCUCGGCACCAUACACAAGGAAGAAAGGGGUGAAGCCGGUUGACUUGUUUGGUGUAGUGCGCAGACUCCAGAGGAUAGCCGGCAGCUCAUCGAGCCAACAGCCGGCUGAGCGCUCCAGAGGUACGACCAGUCGAGGCUUGAUACCGGAGAGGAUGAGGCCGUUGGCUCGCUCGACCUGGCCGUUUGACUGCGGGUGGGCGACGGAAGCUAAGUCCAGCCGGAUACCUUGGGCUGCGCAGAAACGUGCCAAGGCUCCUUUGGCAAAAUUCGUGCCAUUGUCGGUGAUGAUGCUGUGCGGCACGCCGUACCGAGUUGUUAUGUCUGCGAUGAAUGUCACAGCAGUCGGCCCAUUCAGCUUCUUGAUCGGCUUUGCCUCAAUCCACUUGGUGAAUUUGUCCACGGCGACUAGCAAAUGUGUCAUGCCGCCGCGCGCCGUCUUGAAUGGGCCCACCAUGUCCAGUCCCCAAACGGCGAAGGGCCAAGUGAGGGGAAUGGUCUUGAGUGCUGAAGCCGGCACGUGUUGCUUGGAGCUGAAGAGUUGGCAUCCCUUGCAAUGUUUGACUAAUUCUUUGGCGUCGUCCAAAGCAGUCGGCCAGAAGAAACCAUGGCGGAAGGCUUUGGCGACAAGUGAUCUUGAGUCCGCAUGGUGGCCGCAUUCUCCUUGGUGAAUGUCUAUGAGGAUUGCAAUGCCCUUCUCUUGCUCGACGCACCGUUGGAGGAUUCCAGUGACACUGCGCUUGAGUAGUUCUCUAUUGACGAUUGUGUACGCUCCGGCUCGACGCUGGACUUGUCUUGCUUCUGUUUCGUCGGCCGGUAGGUCUUGGUUUACUAGGAAGUUGAGGAUGGACUGAGCCCAUGACGGAGCCGCGACUUCUCCUACUGCCAAUGUGGCUACUGCUACCGGGGUGGGCGGGCUGGGCGGUGAAGUGCUGUUGUCGGUGCACUCGGCGAAUUUCCUCGUAACACCCGGCAUGUCCUUGGGGGACCAUGCGAAGAUGUCCCGAUUCUCACGGAGGAAAUCAGCGAGCUCACCUUCCUAUUUGCUAUUCAGGUUUGCCCCGAUGACGGCAAACCUCUCUGGAUGCUCGAAGUCAAGAGGUAUCUUCUUCGUCUCCUUGGCCGACUGGAAAGACCCUUGAGCAUCGUGCUCCUUGGGGUCGGGGUACACGGCCGACUGCUUGCCGGCUAUGGCCACGACUCGGUCCAGCAUCUUCUUCUCUUCGGCAAUCACAAGGGACUCGGCCAGCCGGCUGCUGGCCGCCGCGCACUCGGAGGACUUCUUGUAGUCACCGGCUACGGUGAUGACGCCUUUGGUGCUUGGUAUCUUCAUCUUGAGGUAUGCAUAGUGGGGAACUGCCAUGAAUUUGGCCAAGGCGGGUCGGCCAAGCAACGCAUGGUAAGGGCUUUCCAGGUCCACCACUUCAAACCAGAUCGCUUCCCGGCGGAAAUGCUCCUUGUCCCCAAAAAGUACAUCAAUCUUGAUCUUGCCAAUGGGGGCGCAGGACGGGACGGGUACGAUGCCAUGGAACACUGUCCGCGUAGGCACGAGCUGCUUCGUCUUGACAUUUAGUUUCUCCAGGGUGUCACGGUACAGGAUGUUGAUGCUGCUCCCGCCGUCUAUCAACACACGGGAGAAGCGGGCGGCGCGUCUGUCCGUUGCAAGGGUGGCUUCCAGGACCAAAGCAUAAGAGCCGGGAGACGGCAUCACCUCUGGAUGGUCGGCCCGGCUCCAGCUGAUGGGCUUUUCUGACCAAUGCAUGUGUCCAGCGGGGUUGGCUGCGACCACGCCAACUUCCUAGCGCUCUUGGCAUUUGCUGCGCCGGUCUUCGGGCUGGCUUGUAAAGACGAUGUAGGUGGCUUGCUCGUCAGGGAACUCGUCAUGCACGGCUCCGACUGCGGGCCAAGCGGCCGGAGGCGGCAGGGCCGGAGGCGGCGGGCCGGCAGGCGGAGGCGGCAAGAGACCCUCGCCCUUAGAGAUUCGGGUGAGCCAAUGGCACUUCCGGGUCGCGUGGUUGGACGGCUUCGCGCCGCUGUGGAACUUGCAAGGGGCGUCGAGAGUCUGCUCGUAGGAGAAGGCGGGCUGCCAAGCCGGCCUGCCGCCCUUGGGCUUCUUGGGCGCCGGUCGCUCUUUAGGCGGCGCGUCUUCGACUGUGGCCACCUGCCGACUGGCGGGAGGCGGCGCGGGGCCCUUGCGCUUGUGAUCAUUCGUGUGGGGGAGUCGGCCGGAAUCCCUAGCCGGCGUCUUGGGCGCCGGGUUGAGUACCUUUCCGGACGCGUCCACCCGAAGCUCGGUCUUCAUCGAAGAGUCGGCGGUGGCGUAUUUGUCCGCUAUGUCCAGAAGCUCGUCGAGGGUAGCCGGCUCGUCGCAGAGGAGCUUGUGCUUGAGGAGGGUGCCUUCUCGGCAUCCGGCUGUGAAGUAUUCUAUGGCUUGCACCUCGUGCACCCCUUCACAGGAGUUGCGGAGCUCGGCCCAAUGCGUGAGGUAAUCGCGAGUGGACUCGGCGGGGCCUUGUACGCACAAGGAGAGCUGUCUGGGUUUGGGAGCCCGCUUGUAGGUGCUGGUGAAGUUACGGAUGAAGGCUUCUGUGAAAUCUAGCCAGUUGUUGAUGCUACGCGGCUUGAGGCUAUUGAGCCAGGUCCGCGCCGUGCCUUGCAGCAUGAGGGGCACGUACUUCAUGGCAACGCGCCGGUUGCCGUUGGCUAUGCUAACCGCCAUGGAGUAGUCGAUCAACCAAUCUUCCGGCUUCACGGAGCCGUUGUACUUGGGCGUGUCUCUUGGGAGCGAGAACCCUUUGGGAAAGGGCUCGUCGCGGAUGCGGGGGCCGAAACAAGGCGGGCCGACAUCGUCUUCUUCUUCCAACGCCAGGGAUUGCGCCAGGCGGUCGAUCCGAUGGCGGGCGUCGUUCUCGCCGAUUCCUUCACGGCGGCCUAGCCGGCCGCUGAGAGUCGGGUGCGCCACUGGUGGCGGGGCGGGAUAUCUCUCUCCACGGGGUGGAGGCGGAGGCAGGUCGCCCCGCCAUUCCAUGGCUCGGGGAUGACCGUCCGCAUCUCGCUCGAUGGAGAUCCGGGUCCGGCUGCGGCUGGCAGCCGGCCCCUUCUCGCGUCGUGCACGGGUGCUGCUCAUAGUCGGCGUCCGGGACGUCGCGCCAUGCUCUCGGCGCGAGGGAGGGCUUUCCGCGCGGGCGUCGGCUUUGUGGCACUGCGCGGCUGCGUCGAUCAAUUGCUGGAUGCGCCGGGUCAUGUGGGGGAGGUCUUCGGCCUCCAAGCCGUCCAACUCGUCUACGGCCGCCUGGGCGGCACGCAAGUUCUUGAGCGGAGUGGCGUAGACCAGGCAGUCGACUCCCAGCGUGUCGGCUAUGACGGCGCUGCGUUGCUUGACAAGGCCGGCCCGACUUGGCCCGCCCGAGGCCGGCGUGCCGAAGGCGGCGCGGUCAGCUUCGCGCUGAUAGGCCUCAGUGAAGCGUCUUACGGAAGCCAGCCUCCGGCCCUCUGCGAGGAGGGCGAGGCGGCGCGCCUCCAGCGCUUCGUCGUCGGCAUUAGCCGAGAGGGGAGCGAACAAGUCGUGGGCCGCCGCGUGCGAGGCGUUGCGGGCACUUUCGUCGGCCGGGCCGCCGUGGCUGACAACCAUCACUUCGGUGGUGACAGCAUCGCAGCCGUCGGCUCGAGGAAGCGGGUCGUUGUAGAUCGUGACGUUGGUGGGGAAGGUGUCGUAGGAGGCCGUGUCGGAGUCGACAGGCAUCGGGUCAGUGGAGCCAACCGACUCCAGGUCCGCAGCGGGCUCGCUGGAGACAUGGAGCUGGCCGAGAAGGUUGGCGAGGUGGUCGGUGCCCGCAUCGGAGGUGAGCUCGUCGGAGAUGAGAGUUUCGUCGAAGAGAUCGGCGAGGCUGCUCGCCGCGCAGAUGCUGGUGACGCCUUGCAGCGCGUCGUGGCAAGCGCCAUCGGGCGUGCCGGGCUGGCUACGCUUGCUGGGGAGGAAGAGGGUUCCCGUCCAGAACAGCUCUCCGGACGAUGGUGCACCUGGCCCCACGGUGGGCGCCAAAUGUCGGGUGGUAGGUGCGACAUAUGCCAACGGGUGGCUUAUCAUUGUGGGAGCCAGUAAGACAUCGCCGGUGCCUGGAAGCGGGAUAAGGCGAAGACAUGCACGCCGGCGGAUCUUACCCAGCUUCGGGGCUCUCCGUGGAGAUAACACCCCUACUGCUGCUCUGCGGGGUCUCCGCAUGCUCACUAGAUGAAUCAAGUAACUACACAACGCUCCUUGAGCUGUUUGGGGGGAGGAUGAAGAAGGGCACGGCUAGCCUGCUUCUCUCCCUGUGUGGUGUCUAGAACUAUCGGGGGGUCGAACCCUUUGCAUGGGUGCCUCGGGGGGUUUAUAUAGGCCUACCCCCCGGGGGUACAAUGGUAAUCCGACUGGGCGCGGGGCCCAGCCGUCUGUGACUGCGCUCGCCGGCUUCUGCGCCGGCUGCUGGGGCCCGCCAACUGGUGGGUCCCGCCGGCUGCCGGCACCUUGGUCGAUAGGCAGGUCCCACUGUCCAGGGCCUGGUCGGCGGCUGGUUACUGUGGCUUCAUCUUGUUGACGUGAGCUUCAUCGUGGUAAACGUGGCUAUAGUACCGUCGCCUGCCAGGCGAUCGCUGUAGCCUUACCGCGUCUUGUCUCCUUAAUGGGGCGUCCUCUUUGAGGAAAGCGGCAAGCCGGCUGCGGGGAGCCGGCUCUGUCUUGGGCCGACCGGUGGGAGGUGUGGCCGCCUUCGGGCGUCUCUCUGCUCAAAGGGGCCCACCGCCUGUGGGCCGCGCUAGCGGCCCGUCAUGGGUGAUGCGAGGGUCAGCAUGGCAAUAGUGCCGCGCCGAACGGGUCAUGCCUACCCCGUACGAUGCACUGCGCCAGGCGUGCUCUAGGAUUCGGGGGCGGCAGGCUUUACUGUAGCCACGCCCCGUCGCACCGCCGUUAGGUGGGUGCAAACUUUCGUGGGUACGGCCUUGACCACUUUAAGGGGAGCUGGCUUCUUGGAGUCGGCCUUCUCAUGGCCGGCUUCUUGGAGUCGGCCUUCUCAUGAGGGCUAAAUUCGGACCGCCUUCCGAAAGCCGGCCUGGGUGGCAGCCAGCAAGGGGAAGGCGGCCCCUAUGUCUUGAAUUCUUGAGAGCCGGGCGGGCUCGUAACUUUUUUCAGAAGGGCCAGGGGGAGCCGGCUAGGCUACCCAUGGCUAUUUACUCCGACAGUUGUGUUGCUUUGCAUGAUGCGGCUCCUGUCUAUUUCCAUUUUAUGGAGUGUGUCCUCGUAAAUAGGGUUUAGUCCGCUGCCGCCGUCCAUGAGGACCUUGGUAAGUCGAAACCCGUCCACGAUGGGACUGAGGACUAAUGCAGCUGGCGCUCGCACUGUUCUGUACUUUGGUUUGUCGCCGGCGUUGAAUGUUAUAGUUGUGUCGUUCCAGGGGUUUAUCGUAGCAAUUUGGAAGACUUUGGCGAGCUCGCGGAGCGCCCUUUUGUGCUUGUUGUUUGAAGCGAACGUCUCAAAGACUGUCAAUACUCUUGAGUUGUCGUCCACUGGGGGGAUGUUGUUCUGAGUCGUCCUUGAUAAGGAUAUCCUCUUCGCUUUUGGCUACCUGUCAUAGUAUCCAACAUGCUCUAAGGCUGUGGGUUGCCAUGGUAUCUAGUGUUGUAUGUAUUUUGCAUGGGCCAUCGAGCCGCCCGGUCAGAAUGGUGUUGUGCCGCAUAGCGGUUUUGUGUUUCUUGACUGUUGGACUGGGCAUGCCGCGAGGGUGCGCCCUUUUCGCCUGUAAGGGGAGUUGAGUUAGGACUGGCAGUUCCCAGCGAGCUGCCUGAGUUUUCCAGGUGCUCUCCAUCGCACUGUAUUUUUGUAUGAUGGUUGCUAAAUCAGUGAAUUUCAGUAUGCGGCGGUGAUUGAUGGUGUUGAGGAUUCCUUCAUCCGCGCAAUUGUUGCAGAACACUGAAAUUGCGUCUUCGUCACGACAGUAUUUUACCUUGUCCUUGACAAGGAGGAAUCUGGCACAAAAGUGGUGGACUGUUUCCUGAGACUGCUGUUUUAUGCUUACGAGAGUGUCUAAAUUCGGGUGGGUGGGUGGAAUUAAAUCCGAACCCCGACCCGACCGAUUAUCCGGAGUCUGAUGAUCUUCCGGGCUUGACAGUCUGGGUUCCGGAAUACCUUCUGAUUUUCAGGACCGUCGUCCGUUGCUAUUUUUAGGAGGCUGGUCGCAUCUUUUAGUGGGUGGGUAUCCGGCCUUUCCUGGUCGGCAAUCCGGACAUAGUCCGCCUUCGGCAUAGGAGAAAACUCAUCGUCCUGCUCCACGACUACUGCAAUCUGGUGGGUGACUGGUAGGGUCUUGGUUUCUCCUUGGUCGGUUUUAAGCCCGAUCUGGUCGUAGUAUGUGGCUAUUCCCAAAGCGGCGAUGCGAUCUAGGAGUUUGUUCAAAGACAAAAGCUCUGCCAGAUCCAUCUGCUUGGAGUGCUCGGAGUUGAUGCGAAGGGGGUUUUCGAUGUCCCGAGAGGUCAUCGUCGGCUCAACGGCCAAACGGGCGAUCAUAGUAAAGCCGCCUAACCGGAGGGUUUGGCCCGGGGCCAGUGCUCCUCCAGGGGUGAUGUUGUCUUUAAGGACAAGGCGAGCCAUCGAGCCUUUUGUCGACGGCAUAGUGGAACUCUCAAUGAAAGCACCAAUGUCGGUGUCAAAACCAGCAGAUCUCGGGUAGGGGGUCCUGAACUGUGCGUCUAGGAUCGAUGGUAACAGGAGACAGGAGACACAAUGUUUACCCAGGUUUGGGCCCUCUCUAUGGAGGUAAUACCCUACGUCCUGCUUGAUUGAUAUUGAUGAAUAUGGGUGUUACAAGAGUUGAUCUACCACGAAAUCGUGCUGGCUAAACCCUAGAAGCCUAGCCUAUAUGACUAUGGUAAUGAAUGGUGUCCUUUCUGGACUAUCCCCUCCGGUUUAUAUAGACACCGGGGGGAUCUAGGGUUUACAUAGAGUCGGUUACAUAAGAAGGAAUCUUCAUAGUCGGUCGCCAAGCUUGCCUUCCACGCCAAGGAGAGUCCAAUCCGGACUCAGGUAUAGUCUUCGGCCUUCAUGUCUUCACAGCCCAUCAGUCCGGCCCACUAGAUAACAGGCCGGACGCUCGAGGACCCCUUAGUCCAGGACUCCCUCAACACCCCAACACUAGGAUUAUGGUAUCCAAAGGGCUUAGAGUUUGAUCUAGUUGGAUUCUCAGAUGUUGUUUAUGCUGGUGACAAGGUUGAUCGCAAGUCCACAUCAGGCACAUGUCACUUUCUUGGACGAUCUCUUGUUUGUUGGUCUUCAAAGAAGCAGAAUUGUGUAUCUCUCUCCACUUCUGAAUCUAAAUACAUUGUUGCUGGAUCUUGCUGGCUCCCAGCUUCUAUGGAUGAAGCAAACUCUCAAGGACUAUGGCAUCCAUCAGAAGCAAGUGCCACUUUACUGCGACCAUGAAAGCGCCAUCAAGAUUGCCAACAACCCAGUCCAGCACUCGAAGACAAAGCACAUUCAGAUCCGUCAUCACUUUCUCGGAGAUCAUGUCAUGAAGGAAGAUAUUGAUAUCAUUCACGUCAACACUAAAGAGAACUUGGCAGAUAUCUUCACAAAGCCCUUGGAUGAGAAAAGGUUUUGCAAGUUGCGGUGUGAGCUAAAUAUCUUAGAAUCCUCAAAUGUCCUGUGAUUGGACACACAUCCUAACGCUUAUGCAUAUUGAUGACUUGGAUGUGCGACACACGAAGUAACAUAUAUCUUCAAUCAAUGAAGACAUACACUCUAAGUGUCAAUACAUUAACGCGGAAUUUCACUUCGGAGCGCCAUGAUAAUUGUGCGCCGUGUCUGGGUCUAAUACUUCCUAUAUGGUGGGUAACGCCACCACCACAAUAUCUUCGAAGGAUUUCAUGUGGCAUCAUAAUUGCAUAGUCUUUGCAUUUGAUUUGUCUUCAACAUUAUUUUAACUUCAAGGUUUAUCUUCACAACAUUAUUUUAACUUUAAGGUUUAUCUUCGCAUUUGAUUUGUCUUCAACAUUAUUCGUGUUCUGCUGUCUACGGCAUUCACUUAUAGCUAUGUCUUCAUGCUUGAAUCUUUCUUUAUCUAAGUGAAUGUGAUCGGACCCUAACCCCAUAUGUGCUUCUAUCUCAAAUUUCAUCUAUCCAAAUCGUAUGCAUUCUAUUGAUACCCAUCGAUUGUCUUCUCUGAAUCCUUGUCAGCAGAAAACAAAGUGACAAAAGUUUAAAACUAUUUUAAUGCCAUAUCAUGUUUGCCUGAAUAAUGGAGAAACCGGAACGACCACCGACAAUCCAGGCAUGCGUGGGAACAUAGAUCAACUCCCAAUGAGUUGCCUGCAAGCCAUGUGUCCUUCAGAUGUGAACCGCCAGGGGCACCUGUGUAAUUAUGUUGUGGUGUCGCUUUCCUUAUAAAUACACAACUCACUGUGGUCAUUAUCUCUUCUUCCACCUCGUCACCUCACACAAACCCUAGAGCCUCCGCUAGCUCACGUCGACGCUGGAGCCGAAGUGCUUAGCUGCCGCGACUUCUUCGAUGUCGUCCUCACGCCGGCAGCGGACCUCGUCUUCUCCGCUGCUGUCGUAGGUGUCUUCCGCCGCCAAGUUAGGGCAUGGAAGAUUGAACUGCUCGGCCUCUCUAUCUUCGACCUCAUCUAGCAGUUCGUAAGAGGUAAAUAAAACCUACUUUUUACUGCCUUUUUGAUCCGUCAAAUCCAUCCACUUCAACCGAAAGUGGUUUCUCGACUUCCAAAUCUGGAUUUGCCCUUGUCUGCAUCUCAUAUCAUGCCAAGUAUAUUCACUUAUGCUUCAUAAAUAGUAAGAUUCCUCACUUGUACUUAUUCAUGGAUUCGUACAAAUUUGGAACCAACUCUCUUCAAAUCAGUGAAUGUCUUCACGCUAUGAGGUCAAUGUCUUCAAACUGAUUUAUCUUCAAAAUCUUCUAAGAAUGCAUAUGACUGUUCCAAAAAUCACGCUCCCGAAGGUUUCAUUCCGUUUUGACUCCGUUUGAUAUUCCUUUUCUGCGAAACACUGAAAUAGGCAAUAAAUAGCAAUUUGGGCUGGGCCUCCGGUUAAUAGGUUAGUCCCAAAAAUAAUAUAAAAGUGUAAAAUAAAGCCCGUUAUCAUCCAAAACAGAUAAUAUAAUAGCAUGGAACAAUCAAAAAUUAUAGAUACGUUGGAGACGUAUCAAUGACCUCUUCCCCUUCCCUCGCACCUUAAUGUUGUCACAGGUACAUGUCCGUGAGAGAAUCCCUUAGUUCUCAUAGUCUGCAUUCAUUUGCAGAGUUCUUGCAGUGUCACAUCAACUCUCCUGAAGCCAGUUCCUGUCUGACCAGCAAAAGUAAGCCACUCACAGUUUUGAAGCCUUUUAGUUUGAAUCUCAUGGCAAAUAAAAAAUCAGUCAGGAAGGGCGGCAGGCAGCGCCGUGGGGAUACAACUAAGGAUUUACCUCAUGAUCUGUUUGAAAUGUACAAGACGGACCCAGAGGAAACCUACGGCGAGCGCAAGACCCGAAACCAAUGGAUUCGAAGAUAUUGGACUAAGGAAUGGUACAAAUACAGAUUUGUGACUACUGAAUAUGCUAAAAAGAACGCCAUCAAGGGCCCCUGGGGAGAUAUUCUAUACAGAAAUCUGUAUCCCAAGUCCAAGCCUGAAGCCAUUUCUCAAGACUUCUACCCUUGCAUGUUCCGAGGGCCACAGCCAGAUAAUGCUGACCCAUCAUCACUGUUAUGGUGUCGCAAUGACAAUCUCUACAAGCGUCAUUAUCAAUUUGCCAAGGAGUCUGUUGUCAAGAACAAGAAGGACCUGGGACUCGACUUCAACCCUGGUCCAUCUGCUCCAAGGGCUGAUGGCACCCGUGAUGCCAAUCCAAAUGUCAUCGGCCCUUCUACAACCUCGAUGGCCUUCUCACUCACAUAGUUGUACAGGGGGCCACCGUGGAGCACUCAGCUGGUGACACAGAUUCUGACGAAGUGCCAGCUCCACCAAAGCCGCAGAAGAAGAAGACAAAGGCUACAAAGCCCUCUGUCCCACCAAAAGCUUUGCGUGUGAAGCCAUUGGCAACUACACCUCCUGAACCCAGUGUACAAUAUGAAGAUCUUUCUUUUGUCUCAAAGAAGACGGAGAAGCCCAAGAAGAAACCCAUGAAGAUUUCUAGGCAUGAACUGACUCCAGCUGUCAUUCUUGGGAAUGAGGAAAACACCAUUGAUCUGUCAAGUGACGAAGACUUUGGUGAUGAAGCCCUUGAGAUGCUGAUCAAGAGCAAGCAAGAGGCGGAGAUCUUCAAUGAUCUGCCCCUCUUUGAUGUGUAUAUACUAAAAAAUUUCAUUGAUGAGUGGUUUGACAACCCGAGCGUCAGCAUUGAUGAUCUUCAGCUUCAUGUGGACAUCAGCGUCACCUUCCAUGGAGCCAUUGCUAAUGAAGUGGCCCUGGCUUAGAAAAACGUCGAGUUGAAAAACAAGAUUGAUUAUGAGAAGGCAUAAUUCAAGAAUAACAUGGCAAAGCUCAGCGUGGCUGAUGUUCAAAGCUUUAAGAAGAUGUUGCAUGAGUUCAAGGAACAGUUUCACAGGAAGCAUGAAGAAUCCAAAGGCUCACGAGAGCGGAUGAAAUACUUUGCAGAGAAAUGUGUUCAAGCACACAAUGAGGCUGAGAAGCGCAAGGCUCUUGGGCGUCCUAGCAUUGACCCCAAGAUGGCUGCCAAACAAAAGAAGAAGCUUGCUGUGGUCUGAACUGAAGCACCAAGGCAGGAAGAACCUCGUAUUGUCUUCCCUUCCAGCAUGACAGGCUCAAAGCCUAAGGUCCCCUCAGCAGCUUCAGAACUGAAGAAGACAAGGCAGCUGAAGCCGAAGCCCAGAAGCACAAGCACAAGAAUGCUUCUGAUGAUGCACCAUCAAAGAAGAAAUUGAAAAAGUCUUCAAAGAAAGAGCGUGCUGCGGCCUCUAAGCCCCUUGUGGUUGAGCCCAUUUCUGUUGCCCGUCCGGCCUCCACCAACCAAGCGCGUUAACUUGUGAUCCACGAGCCUGCUUUCACAGAGGCUCCUGCAGAUGAAGAAGUUCUAGUUGUUGACCCCAUCAUAGCUGAAGACAUUGGUUGUGAAGACAAUGUUGAAGAUGAUGAAGUCCUUCCUCAACUCGAGCAUCAACUGGUAUCAUCGCCUGUUCUUACAAACAGCAAACUCAUCAGCAUUGGUCGUCCUUUGAUGCCAAUUACUCAGGAUGAUUCGUGGGCAGAUCACCCUCAAGAAGACACCCCUAUUCAUGAAGACACAACCAGAACUCCAACACAUCAAGUCACCACUCCGGUGCUUGAAGAUGAUAGCUACAUGGUACAAACCACUCCAUCUCCAUAGGCGUCGCCCGCUUUCCGCAGACUUCGCAAAGGCCCCAGGCCACAGGUCACCAUGUAGAGCAUUCCAGAAGGGGAAGUGCAACAUAGCUCAGCAGCACGUCAAGUGUUUCCUGAAGCCACCCCAACUGUGAAUGUCUCCGAGUCUGAAGCAAAAGUUGAUGAAGACAUUCUAGCUGCAUCAGCUGAUGAAAAUCAAGAAACAAGAGAAGAAGAAGAAGAAGAAGAAAGAGUUGCUACACCCCCUCCUACUGAACCAGUCAUUCUCAGGGAUAAUGAGUCUGUGCCCGACCCUCCUGUCAUUGAACAGAUGGAGGUUGAAACUACCGAGGCGGCCACAAACACUGAUGUUGAAGCCAAUGACAUUGUCAUGGCUGAAGACCAUGUGGCGCCUGAAGCUAAUAUGGCGUCUGAAGCCAAUGUGGAAUCUAAAGCUCAUGUGAUGCCUGAAGCUCAAGUACAUCCUGAAACCACUGUGCAUGCUGAAGCCACUGUUCCAUCUCCAAGGCCUCACACAAUUGAAUAGGCCUUUGAUCAUGGACAACUGGUCACUGUGAAAUGGCCCGUCAUGGUGCCUCACACUGCUCCCAGACCUCAAUAUGACUAUCAUGUGGAGCAGAGGCCCCAGGUUUAGAAGCCAAAGCCCAGGCUGCCAAGGCUUCUAGGUAUUGCAACCUCCCCAUGAUCAUUUGGCGUGAACAGCUUCAGGGCACACAAUACUUUCUUUGACAGUGCCAAGAAUCCAUACUCGAAGCCAAAGAUCUCUUCUUAUCGCUUCUAGAGCUAUCAGCAGCGCAGCUACUACUCAUGCAUCCUAUACAAUCAAGAGUGAAUCUUUCAACACUUGCAUCUUGAUUGUGAAGCCAUUGAUGGGCUGCCCUGUUUGGAAGAAGCCCUUGAUUGCUUCAGGGAGGUUGGUCUUCUACAGUUCGUCACUGACAAGGAGCACUGGAAUGAAGAGCUCUUGCUGCAGUUCUAUGCCACUCUUCACAUUCGUGGCUACAACAGGGAUCCGAAGACAUGGAUCCUUGAGUGGAUGUCAGGCGAUGUGCAUCAUGAAGCCAAAGCUCAAGACAUUAUUGAGCUUACUUCCCUGGCCACUCCAGUUGACUUGUAUGAGCCUUGUUUUCAGCUUCACAAUAAUGAACUGCAGAGUAUCUUUAAGCGGCAUGAACCAAAUAUGAGUCAGAUGCUCAUCAUGAUGAAGCCAUUGCCUCAAGAUGUUGAAUAUCCCAAGGAAUUCUUCGUCAAGGACCUCAAUUACUUGCCCCGCACAGUCUAUCACAUUCUGAGGUGUACUCUAUGGCUGAUCAAGGGAUACACUGCUGAAGCCAAACUUGAAGGAGCCAUGAAGACUUUGGUGUUUUACAUCAUCAAUGGCAUCAGGUUCAACUCCCAGGAUUUCUUCAUCAAACAACUUGCUGCAUCUGGGAUUGAUCUAUUUGGCCUGAAGUUUUAUGCUCCAUGGGUGAUGCGCCUGAUCAAGCUCCACUCCUCUAUUGACUAUCAGCCCUCGGCACGCAACCAUCUUGUAUUUCUGCCCGAGGUUGAUCUGUCUGUUGAAGCCAUCUACCCAAAGCAUGCCAAGGAGCCGCUAUAUCUUCACAAUAUUGAUCAUCAAUGCUUCAUGCAGCCCAUAGAAGGGAUUCAUGUUCCAAAUGCUGCUACCCCUGCUUAUCCUCUGGCUAGCAAUAUGCGUGUGCCCCAUCGUGCAAACACCGAAGCCACUGAUAGUACGAUUGCCUAAAGGCCUCAGAAGCGUUCUCGUGUUCUCAAUGACGAAGAGCUUCUUGUUUCCUUACAUCAGAAGAAAGAUAAGCAUCAUGACUAGCUUAAGCGUCAGAUGCAGAGUAUCUUGGUGGACAUCAAUCACAUCAGAAACUUGGCCAUUGUCGGUGUCAAAACCGACGGAUCUCGGGUAGUGGGUCCCGAACUAUGCGUCUAGGCCAGAUGGUAACAGGAGGCAGGGGACAUGAUGUUUUACCCAGGUUCGGGCCCUCUUGAUGGAGGUAAAACCCUACGUCCUGCUUGAUUAAUAUUGAUGAUAUGGGUAGUACAAGAGUAGAUCUACCACGAGAUCAAGGAGGCUAAACCCUAGAAGCUAGCCUAUGGUAUGAUUGUUGUAUAUGGAGUUGUAUGUUGUCUCCUAUAUCGACUAGCCUGACCCUGGUUUAUAUAAUGCACCAGAGGCCUAGGUUAACAGGAGUCCUAGCUGAAUACGCCGGUGGGGAGAAGUCCUUGUCUUGAUCGCCAAGUCUUUGUGGAAUCUUCCUUUUAUGCGGCAACUGUCCGAACUGGCCCAUGAGUAUACGGCCAUGGGGGGCCUCGGCCCAAUCUAAUAGAUCGGGAGACGACAUGGUGAGUACCCCCUAGUCCAGGACACCGUCAGUAGCCCCCUGAAGCGGUCUUCAAGUUAGGGACGCUCCUCGAUUCUUCCGAACUGUUCUUCAUCUUUGGUCGUCGGUCUUGAAAACUGGUUCAACAAAUCUUCUCAUCUUCGAUCUUGAGGAUCGCCGAAAUGCAUUCGACGAGUUUAUACGCCGGGUAUCCGAGGAGCCCCUUUAAGUUUUCGGCCUUUAUCAAUGCCUUAUUAUUUUUAUGCCACACCUCGGGUUUGAAGUUGUUCCCGGGAGGCAGUGUCCUCUUGCGUCCGAGCUCCAACGCCAGACUGCAUUCAAGGUAUCUUUUGCAGCUGAGCACCAACGCCGGACCGCUUCCCAGCUCUAACGUCGGAAUAUAUCCGAGCUCCAACGCCGGACUAUGUAUCCGAGCUCCAACGCCGGACUAUAUCCGAGCUCCAACGCCGGACAGUGUCCCAGCUCCAACGCCGGACUAUAUCCGAGGUGUCAUAUCACCUUGGUUCAAAAAAGUUGAAGGAGUCUAGCCGAGCUUAAUGCCGGAAAUGCCCUCUAUGGAGCCAGCCACUAGCGCCCAAGCUUUAUGCCGGACUGCUUCCGAGGUGGUGCACCACCCCGACUGUGGGCCGAUUUUUUAUCAAUAUUUUUUAUUAUUGCAAUUUAUUCUCUGCCGGGAUAUAUGGCUAGUAGCCCUCAAGGUGUGUAUCUGUCUAAAACCCGAGAUGCACCUGAAGGAUGACAUAAGACCGCUGAUCCCAUUAGCCGCUGAGACUCAGGUUGAUUUGCAAAAUCGGCCUGAGGAUCAAGUCCUAGCUCGGCAGAAUACUUCGGGACACAAAAAGCGGCGUGCUUAGUCCUCGAGACUCAGGUUGGGUGCGGCCGACCAACCUGAGGAUCAAAAUCUCCUCGGCAACUGUAUUGCACUUAAAAUUUUCUACAUUGAACAGGCAAUGCAGUAGCCCCCGAGACACUGGUUGGGUGGCAACACCAGAUCAGGGGAUCGAUGUGCCCCUUUAAUAUUUGUAAAUAAUAAGGCCGAAGCCCAGUAGCCCCCGAGCCUUAAUGCGUGCACGGGUGGCCGAAUUAAGGAUCAAUAUCCAUAGUAAAAUCACAAAUUAUGUGUAAUGACUCUAUGUAUCCAAGUACUUUACAUCAUUAAUGCUUGGAUCCGCAUUGUACAUAACUUUGUUGACCGACCAUCGGCUUCCACCUCCUCGGCUAGUAGCCGAGGAGUGUUUGUCCUACUUUAUAAAGCCUUUAUGAGGGCAAAGAUUUACGACAAAUAAGGCAAUCUGGCCAUAUGGUUUUAUGAACAAAGGUACGCAGAGAGUUAUAUCACUGUUUAACAAAAGAAAUGUCUUCCAAAGAAAAUAGUCCCGCUAUCGGUUCCUUUCUUUGGGUUGUCAUGCUAAGCAUGAUCAUUAAACCUCAGCUCUAAUGUAAGAGCAAAAUAUUGAGGAUUUAGUUUGGGAGGCCAGUUAAUAUCCCCCGGUAGUGUUUGGCGACAGUCGGGGUCAAGGCGUAAACACUUCGGCCAAUGUUAUGAACGACCCAUCAUUUAACAUAGUCAUCGGAUCGCUGACCAGUUUACGCUUAUUAUGAAAGUCAGUUUUCGGCUUUCUCCACUGAGGUGCUUAACCAUGUGAGCUGGAAGCACAAUCGCAGUGGUUCUCCCUUUGCACGCCUAGCCGAACAAAACGGAACGUAGGAAGCAAGUGCAGGAGCCGGGCAACCCAACUAUUGACCGAAGACACAAUUCGAAACCGAUGCAUAUAUAGCAAUAUUUGAGAAUGUUUUUGCCAAAUCCCUAAAGGUGUCCGGCGUUGCACUGCGAGACUAAUGCUGGAGAAGCACAAAUAGUUCUAAAAGUGCCAAAAAAGCUUGGAAAACCAAGAAACGUCAGUAAAAACAUGACGUCCGAACAAUAUCAAGUGUUCGGUGCCAAUCCGAAAGUUGGUCUGAGAAAAAAGAAGUGCUUCUGUCGUGCUUUAACAUGAUACAUCCUAUCUCAAGACUUCGAGCGGGUCAGCCUACGGCUUCAGCCUCCUAUCCCGAGGGCGGAGUACUUCUCAUCAGGCCAGUUUAGCAAACUAAACUCUAGCGGCUUUGAGAGAGAAAUUAGGCUCCCCGGCUAGUGACCGCACACUCGUGUCGAAAAAGGAGUGAUAAAUAAUAAUAAAACUUUGCAACGACUAAGAAGAAGAACACUUAUUAUAAAACGGCUCAAAUAAACUUAAGAGCCCCCAAGUGACUUGGGUAGAAGAAUGAUUGCAUGUACCGAAGUACUUAUAUCAUAUCUAUGUUCAACCGAACUUUAAACGCGUCUUAACUGACCGUCUGCUUCUCCCUCUUCGGUCAAGGACCGAAAAGUGUUAUGUACUCCAUCGGUCGAGAAUAUCGACGGUGUUUCCAAUAACCAGGCAAUCAGGCCAUAAGGCUGUAACAAACAAAGCGCGCUCAGGGAACUUAUGCUAUAUUACCAUGAAGUGUAAGAAGCAUCUUCGAACAAAAUAGUACCCCCACCGAUACCUUUCUUCGGUGCUCAUUGUUAUUAUGAGACUUGUGUAAUAGAUUUUUUGUACUCAUGAGUUCCGUUGUGUGCUGACCAUCAUUGAAAACUAUAAGAGCGCUAGCUUUCGGCUUCACCCAGUUUGAGGUCCGGCUCGGUUGACCCGAUCGUGACAAUCGCAGAGGUGCUCCCUUUACUCCCUAGCCGAACAAUCGGGAACGUAUGGGUAAACACAGGAGCGAGGCAACCCAGCUUGCAAAUUGCUUAAGUCAAUAUGGUGCAUAUUGUGGCAUAAUACACGAACAAGGAACGAAGCCGUACAAGUAUAAUCAUAUGCAAGAGGAAAAGCUUCAUAAAUGAAGCCCCCAAGUGAAUUGGGUCCUUGAAUUUGUGUGUCACAAACAAAGUUUGCACAAGGAAAUUUUUUACAAGCAAAUUUUUUCCAAAAAAGUAUAAUGCUUGGUCGAACCGAACACAAGUUAGAAAUUAAAGCUUUGAGCAUGAAAGCGACUUAGCUGGUUAAUGUGUUCGGUAUUGAUGACGCGGUCCGAGCUUGAUGCGGGGCAAGGUUCCAUCCCCCAAGCUGGUCCUAAGGUGGCGGAGCGGAGAGCUCGACACGCCGAAGUGGUGACAUAGCAUGGUCAAUGCAGACCGGCAGAGUGACGCUGAAGUCCCCGGAUCAUUUUCCUGUGCACAAAAAAUAGUGCAAACCAGAGAUAAUAGUAAUAAUGAUAAUUAAAAAAAUGUGUUGCAUAAUAAAUAAUUUAUGCAAAGUGAGGAAUAGAAGAAAUAUGGCCUGGCGCCGAAGUCAAUGUCGAUGCAGGGCGUCGGCGUGAUGUAGUAAAGGCGUGGCAAAGCCUGAAUUCACAGGUCGGUCCGAGCUUCAGAUGCGGCGUUCGCCGGACUAUGUACGGAAACUGAUCGAACCACCACGCGACCGUCAUUAAUGCAGUCACCAUUUGAUAGACCUGUGUACAUAUCAUGGACAAACCAGAGUAAUAAUUCUUGGGAAAAAUGAACCCAAACAAGCAAAAAAUACUGGGAGUAAUAGCACCUGGUUUAUUUGUUGUAGCAAUCCGAAUGAAGGUGAUUCCCAAAAUUGGGACUCGCUCCGCACACCCAUUGCCUGAUGGGCGAUAAAACGACGGCAUGGCAAUGCUGGUAAAGGUUGACUCGCCGAGGCAAAGCCCUCGGCCCAGCUAACGUGACGGAGCUGGUCGGCUAGUGACGCCGAAGUGUCUGGAGUAGGUUGAUGAGUCGAAGUAGGUCGGCGUGAUGGACACCAGCUUGAAGAAGCAAUAGUGCGGCCCUGUCGAUGCAGGUCGUGACGUGGUCGAUGCCGGCUUGAUGAAGCGACCGUGUGGUGAUGUCGGUAUGACCGCUCCGUGUAAUCCGUGGGGUGAUGAUGUUGAUGAUGAUUUAUCCUUCGCAAUGUCGGACUCUUGUUCGGCUUGCCGAGAUGAUGAUCCAAAGAAGUUGAGCUCGGCUAAAGUGACGACGUGUCUAGCGCAGGUUGGCGGCCGUGGAGUAAUAUUGCUGAACUGGUUUGACACCAGCAUGAUGUUGAAGAUCAUGUUCAAAAGAUCUUAAAGUUAGUGGGGUGUGUUCGGGAACAAAACACAAUACCCCAUACAAAACUUCCUUCAAAAAGGAUGUCCGAAAUCCCGUUCAUAAAAAAGAUGAACUCGGGUCGGAUUCGUUUUCACGCAGAAAAUAGAUCCGAAAAGUGAUGCACUAAUCGGAAGGUUCCCGGAGUUUGGACGGUCGGAUCGAGCUGAAAUUUUGAGAGGUGGUAGAUAUAGGAAUUCCGCAGCCAAUCAACAGUUGGAUCUUCCAAAGGACGUCCGAGCUAGAAGCUGGACACCACGCCCUAAACUCAUCCAAAUUCCCAUCCAAAUUUGACAGGGCUCCGGUAUAUCGUGGAUUGCCAGAGAUUCCUCCAUCGGAACUCGACGAAAUUUUCCAGGAUUGUUAUAGACCCAAUUCCGCACAAUUUCACCAAAGCGAUCGUCAAAGCGAUACUCAAGGAGGUGGUGGCGGCAGAUACGAGUUCGCUGUCCAAAAAAACAGCACGGUCGCUUGAGGGCAAUGUUGACGUUGAGCCCCCAAGCUCCAUAGAUAAUUCCUCCGUGAUCUUGAUAGAGAUCGGAGUUGAUGUUUGACGAAGGCCCUCGUCCGAACAUGGUGAUCCGAACAUGGGGCGCAAUUCUUUGUUGAACCAAGGUGACCAUUCGAACUGGUGACAAAGACGCCGAAGUCACAGUUGAUCUGCAGGCGAGCCAUCGAUCCUUUUGUCGAUCACACAGCGGAACUCUCAAUGAAAGCACCAAUGUCGGUGUCAAAACCGGCGGAUCUCGGGUAGUGAGUCCCGAACUAUGCGUCUAGGCCGGAUGGUAACAGGAGGCAGGGAACACGAUGUUUUACCCAGGUUCGGGCCCUCUUGAUGGAGGUAAAACCCUACGUCCUGCUUGAUUAAUAUUGAUGAUAUGGGUAGUACAAGAGUAGAUCUACCACGAGAUCAAGGAGGCUAAACCCUAGAAGCUAGCCUAUGGUAUGAUUGUUGUAUAUGGAGUUGUAUGUUGUCUCCUCUAUCGACUAGCCUGGCCCUGGUUUAUAUAAUGCACCAGAGGCCUAGGUUAACAGGAGUCCUAGCUGAAUACGCCGGUGGGGAGAAGUCCUUGUCUUGAUCGCCAAGUCUUUGUGGAAUCUUCCUUGUAUGCGGCAACUGUCCGAACUGGCCCAUGAGCAUACGGCCAUGGGGGGCCUCGGCCCAAUCUAAUAGAUCGGGAGACGACGUGGUGAGUACCCCCUAGUUCAGGACACCGUCAGCCACCAAGAACUCAUUUGUUGCCCAUGAAGCCUGUCGACGGUCUUGGAAGAGUCUCACACUCCUAUGCCCUGAAGAAGAUCUUCGCGAAGAUGGCUUCGUAGAGGGCUUCAAAUUUGAUUCCAGGACCCCACAAAAUGCAAGCUGGUGCCGAACUCCCUCCAUAGAAGACUCUGAGUAUUCAUCUUCGGCUGCAACUGUUGUUGCGAGAGUCGUCGAUGAAGAAGACGAUGCCACUUCACCAACCAUGGCUUCACUACAUCUCGACACUGCACCAGGACCUUCUGCACCACCGAACUCCAACGUCGACCCUGCACCUACAUCUACUCCUGAUGGUGACGAAUAGAUACUCUAUGUCUUCAAACCUUUUUGGUCAUUACUGACAAAAGGGGGAGAAGCAUAUGAGUUGAUAGUCUUCAAGCGGAUCCUUAUGGGUGGUUGCUCUAUUUUUGCCAAGUGUUUACAACUCUCGUCAUUUGAUACAUUUGGUUCUUUGGGUUGUAACACUUAAACUCGAUGGUCGCCUGCUACUUUUUCUGCUACUCUGUGAUGCGAUGAUAAAUUCUACAUGAAGUCAUUCCGCAGAUGCCCAUUUUUCAUUAUGCAUGUCAUUAUCUUUGUUAUAUCUUUAUAUGCAUGACGAAUUGUCUUCAUAAGUUGAAGAGGAUCUCCAGAAAGUAAAACCUGCCAUGUGCAUUUGCAUUCAAAAGCAAACUACUUAUAUGCACAUCUUCAGGGGGAGCCUUUUUCUACUUAUGAAGACAAUGUCGUAAUUCUCAACUUUCACAUACUUUUAUUCCCGUUGAAAACUUCAACCAGUUUGUCAUCAAUCACCAAAAGGGGGGAGAUUGUAAGUGCAUCUAGUGCCACCCCUAGCUGGUUUUGGAGUAUUGACGACAAACCUGGUUGAGGAACUAAUGUGUUUGUGAGAAUUUCAGGAUAACACAGGUAGUAGUCCCUCAUUGAUUCGGUUUACCUACCAAAGAUGACCCCUAAAAAUGUGUGAAGACAUUAAAGACAAUGGUGGUAUGUGAAGAGAUUCACAUUGAAGACUAUGACAUGAGAAGACAUCAUAUGAAGACUAUGGAGUACGAAGACAUAGUUGUUUCGUAGUUUCCUUUUCUUCUUUAUUGAGUCAUAGGAACCACCGUACUGUUAAGUGGGGUUCAAGUGAACAAAGUCAGAGUGACUGAAGUGAUGCUCAACCAAAUCCUAUGUCUUCGAGCGAAGACAAUGGGAGCAAAUCUCAUCCAGAGCUGGAUGAGUCAAUUUUACUUGAAGCCCAAGUCAAGCUGCCGGGUGUGUUUGAAAUCUGACCAUUGGACAUGUGUCAGUUCCUUAGUGACCCAGGGUCAUUUCGGACAAAUCAGGUCGGGUUGCCCCCCAGCUAUAAAUAGCCCACCCCCUACACCAUAAAUUGGUGGCUCCUCGGAGUUAGUGCGCGGCUUUUGUUGUUUGAGAGCAACCAGCCUCUGAAGCAUUUGAGAGAGAGAUCCUUGCGAAGACAAAGCCCAAAACACCCAGAGCCAAAGAGUGUUAGGCAUCACUGAAGUCUUUCUCUCUGCGUGACCUUAAGAAUUGUUACACUUGAGGACUGUGAAUCCUCCAGCCGGUUAGGCGUCGCGUUCUGAGCGUCCAAGAGUCAUUGUGGAUCACCGGUGAACGAAGUCUGUGAAGGUUUGGAAGUCUACCUUGAAUACUUACUAGAAUGAUUGGGCGAGGACUGUGUGUCCUUAGCUCAAGGGGAAUAAGGUGAAGACACGGUCUUUUGAGUUGAAUCUCAGGUUCCCUAACCAGACGUACAGUUGUCAGAGCAACUAAAACUGGUCUACCAAAUCCUUGUCUUCAUCAAGCUACUGGUUCUAUCCUUCACUUCCCUUUACUUUACAAUUUGUCUUCGUGAAGUCAUUGCAUGCAUGUAUGAUCAGAUUGACUUCACUAAGUGAAGACUCUUUACUGUUUGGCUUCAUACUAUCUUCCAUCCUGAUCCAUAUUGCCUAGCUGCUGAUAAUUUUCGUGUUUUCGCUUCAUUGCUUACUUGACUAUGGCCUGUCUAGUGUAGUCUACCUUCCGCUGCAUAUCAAUAGGUUCAUUUCUAUCAUUUGUCUUCAAAGCCCCCGUGUUUUGAUUAAUUUCAUAAAAAUCGCCUAUUCACCCCCCUCUAGUCGAUAACUAGCACUUUCAGCCGGCCGGCCUCCCCCUCCCCUCCUUUAUAUACGGGGACAGGGGGCACCCUAGAACACACAAGUUUCUCUUAGCCGAGUGCAGUGCCCCCCUCCACAGUUACACACCUCGGUCAUAUAGUCGUAGUGCUUAGGCGAAGCCCUGUGCCGGUAACAUCAUCAUCACCAUCGCCACGCCGUCGUGCUGACGGAACUCUCCCUCGUCCUCAACUGGAUCAAGAGAUCGAGGGACGUCAUCGAGCUGAACAUGUUCUGAACGGGGAGGUGCCAUAUGUUCGGUGCUUGGGUCAGUUGGAUCGCGAAGACGUUCGACUACAUCAACCGCGUUACUAAACGUUUCCACUUUCGGUCUAUGAGGGUACGUGGACACACUCUCCCCUCUCGUUGCUAUGCAUCUCCUAGAUAGAUAUUGCGUGAUCGUAGGAAUUUUUUUGAAAUACUGUGUUCCCCAACAGAUAAAUGUACUCAAAGGCCUAGGCGAGACAGUCCUGGAUGGCGCGAGUAUGUAGGAACCCAUAUUAUUUUUGUGUACUAUAUUCAGGACCACUUUUGGGUGUCUGUUCGCUGUCAUUAAUGAUCUGCCAACACACCUUGAGAAAACCUCCAUUAAAUCCAUCGAGGCCGGGGGCACGGUACAAGAGCAUCGUCCUAACCACCUCGUCGAUCUCAGCAUGAGUAAAAGGUGCAAAAAGAAUGUUGAGUCCCUCCACCUUUUUGAUGAUCAUGGUGAAAUCGAAUUUCAUGACCGAACUGGAAGCGCCCCCAAGCCUAGUUUUGUAUGUGUUGAACAACACUGCAUCUUUGGAGUUAUGGCCAGUCACCACCAAUCCGUCGGGUAAUUUUAGUGAGGAUAUGGAGUUCCUUUUGUAGCGCUCUAUAGCAAGAGCAUGGAAAAGUUUGGUAUUCUCUUCACCAAACUUCAUAUACCUGGCUGUGCAUCUCUUCCCCCAAUAUUGGCUCUGAUAAUGAAGAAGUUUAAGUAGGUGGGUUUUUAAAAUCAGCCUGAAGUUUGCUUCGGGCACAAUGAGUGGCCUCUGGUUUUCCAGCCCAUCUAAUUCAGUUAGGGACCAGUUGGAAUUUUGAAUGAGGACUGAGCGGCAUGAAAUGUUUUUAUUGUUGGGGAACGCGGUAUUUCAGAAAAAAAUACCUACGAUCAUGCAAGAUCUAUCUAGGAGAUGCAUAUCAACGAGCGGGGAGAGUGUCUCUACGUACCCUUGUAGACCAAAAGCGGAAGCGUUUAGUAACGCGGUUGAUGUACUCGAACAUUUUCGCGAUCCAACCGAUCCAAGCACCGAACGUACGGCACCUCCGUUUUCAGCACACGUACAGCUCGAUGGCAUCCCUCAAGCUCUUGAUCCAGUUGAGGCCGAGGGAGAGUUCUGUCAUCACGAUGGCGUGGCGACGAUGACGAUGAAGUUACCGGCGCAGGGCUUCGCCUAAGCACUACGACGAUAUGACCGACGUGUGUAACUGUGGAGGGGGGCACAGCACACGGCUAAGAGAUUGUCUGUUUUUGUUAUUGGGGUGCCCCCUGGCCACGUAUAUAAAGGAGGGAGGGAGAGAGGAGGCCGGCCAGGUUGGGCGUGCCAAGGGGGGGUCCUACUUGGACUCCUAGUCCAAGUAGGAUUCGCCCCCCCCCCCUUUUCCUUUCUUCCACCGGAGGGAAAGAGAAGGGAGAGAGAGGGGGGAAAGAGGGGGGCCGACCCCCUCCCCUAGUACAAUUCAGUUUGGGGAAGGGGAGGGCGUGCCCCUCUCUUGUGGCCCUUUGUCCUCUCCUCCAAUAAGGCCCACUAUGCCCAAUACUUCUCCCGGGGGGUUCCGGUAACCUCCUGGUACUCCGGAAAAAAGCCCGAACCACUCGGAACCAUUUUGAUGUCCAAAUGAAACCUUCCAAUAUAUGAAUCUUUAUGUCUCGACCAUUUCUAGACUCCUUGUCAUGUCCGCGAUCUCAUCCGAGACUCCGAACAAAGUUCGGUCAUCAAAUCACAUAACUCAUAAUACAAAUCGUCAUUGAACGUUAAGCGUGCGGACCCUACGAGUUCGAGAACUAUGUAGACAUGACCGAGACACAUCUCAGGUCAAUAACCAAUAGCGGAACCUGGAUGCUCAUAUUGGCUCCUACAUAUUCUACGAAGAUCUUUAUCGGUCAAACCAUAUAACAACAUACGUUGUUCCCUUUGUCAUCGGUAUGUUACUUGCCCGAGAUUCGAUCGUCGGUAUCAUCAUACCUAGUUCAAUCUCGUUACCGGCAAGUCUCUUUACUCGUUCCGUAAUGCAUCAUCCCGUGACUAACUCAUUAGUCACCUUGCUUGCAAGGCUUAUAGUGAUGUGGAUUACCGAGAGGGCCCAAAGAUACCUCUCCGAUACACAGAGUGACAAAUCCUAAUCUCGAUCUAUGCCAACCCAACAAACACCUUCAGAGACAUUUGUAGAGCAUCUUUAUAAUCACCUAGUUACGUUUGUGACGUUUGAUAGCACACAAGGUGUUCCUCGGUAUUUGGGAGUUGCAAAAUCUCAUAGUCAGAGGAACAUGUAUAAGUCAUGAUGAAAGCAAUAGCAAUGAAACUAAACGAUCAUUAUGCUAAGCUAACAGAUAUGUCUUGUCCAUCACAUCAUUCUCUAAUGAUGUGAUCCCGUUCAUCAAAUGACAACAAAUGUCUAUGGUCAGGAAACAUAACCAUCUUUGAUUAACGAGCUAGUCAAGUAGAGGCAUACUAGGGACACUCUGUUUUGUCUAUGUAUUCACACAUGUACUAAGUUUCCGGAUAAUACAAUUCUAGCAUGAAUAAUAAACAUUUAUCAUGAUAUAAGGAAAUAUAAAUAAAAACUUUAUUAUUGCCUCUAGCGCAUAUUUCCUUCAGUCUCCCACUUGCACUAGAGUCAAUAAUCUAGUUCACAUCGCCAUGUGAUUUACGCCAAUAGUUCAGAUCACCAUGUGAUUAGUUCACAUAGCCAUGUGACUAAUACCGAAAGGGUUUUACUAGAGUCAAUAAUCUAGUUCACAUCGCUAUGUGAUUAACACCCAAAGAGUACUAAGGUGUGAUCUUGUUUUGCUUGUGAGAGAAGCUUAGUCAAUGGGUCUGUCACAUUCAUAGCCGUAUGUAUUUUGCAAAUUUUGUAUGUCUACAAUGCUCUGCAUGGAGCUACUCUAGCUAAUUGCUCCCACUUUCAAUAUGUAUCCAGAUUGAGACUCGGAGUCAUCUGGAUCGGUGUAAAACUUUGCAUCAGCGUAACUCUUUACGACGAACUCUUUAUCACCUCCAUAACCGAGAAAUGUCUCCUUAGUCUUCUAAGGAUAAUUUUGACCGCUAUCAAGUGAUCCACUCCUGGAUCAAUAUCGUACCCCCUUGCCAAACUCAUGGCAAGGUACACAAUAGGUUUGGUACACACGAUAGCAUACUUUCUAGAACGUAUGGCUGAGGCAUAGGGAGUGACUUUCAUUCUCUUUCUAUUUUUUGCCGUGGUCGUGUUUUGAGUCUUACUCAACUUUACACAUUGCAAUACAGGCAAGAACUCCUUUUUGACUGUUCCACUUUCAACUAGUUCAAAAAUCUUGUCAAGGUAUGUACUCAUUGAAAAAUCUUAUCAAGCGCCUUGAUCUAUCUCUAUAGAUCUUGAUGCUCAAUGUGUAAGAAGCUUCACCGAGGUCUUUCUUUGAAAAACUCCUUUCAAACACUCCUUUAUGCUUUCCAUAAAAUUCUACAUAAUUUCCGAUCAACAAUAUGUCAUUCACAUAUACUUAUCAGAAAGGCUGUAGUGCUCCCACUCACUUUCUUGUAAAUACAAGCAUCUCCAAAAGUCUGUAUAAAACCAUAUGCUUUGAUCACACUAUCAAAGCGUAUAUUCCAACUCCGAGAGGCUUGCACCAGUCCAUAAAUGGAUCGCUGGAGCUUGCGCACUUUGUUAGCACCUUUUGGAUCGACAAAACCUUCUAGUUGCAUCAUACACAACUCUUCUUUAAGAAAUCCAUUAAGGAAAACAGUUUUGACAUCCAUUUUCCAGAUUUCAUAAAAUGCGGCAACUGCUAACAUGAUUCACAGACUUUAAGCAUCGAUACGAGUGAGUAAAUCUCAUCGUAGUCAACACUUUGAACUAGUCGAAAACCUUUUGCGACAAUGCAAGCUUUGUAGUUAGUAACACUACUAUCAGCGUCCGUCUUCCUCUUGAAGAUCCAUUUAUUCUCAAUGGCUCGCCGAUCAUCGGACAAGUCAAUCAAAGUCCAUACUUUGUUCUCAUACAUGGAUCCCAUCUCAGAUUUCAUGGCCUCGGGCCAUUUUGCGGAAUCUGGGCUCAUCAUCGCUUCCUCACAGUUCAUGGGUUCAUCAUGGUCUAGUAACAUGACUUCCUGAACAGGAUUGCUGUACCACUCUGGUGCGUAACGUACUCUGGUUGACCUACGAGGUUCGGUAGUAACUUGAUCUGAAGUUUCAUGAUCAUCAUCAUUAACUUGCUCACUAAUUGUUGUAGGCAUCACUAGAACGGAUUUCUGUGAUGAACCAUUUUCCAAUUCGGGAGAAGGUACAACUACCUCAUCAAGUUCUACCUUCCUCCCACUCACUUCUUUCGAGAGAAACUCCUUCUCUAGAAAGAAUCCAUUCUUAGCGACGAAUAUCUAGCCUUCGGAUCUGUGAUAGAAGGUGUACCCAACAGUUUCUUUUGGGUAUCCUAUGAAGACGCAUUUCUCCGAUUUGGGUUCGAGCUUAUCAGGUUGAAACUUUUUCAUAUAAGCAUCACAUCCCCAAAUUUAAAGAAAUGGCAGCUUAGGUUUCUUGCUAAACCAUAGUUCACAUGGUGUCGUCUCAACGGAUUUAGAUGGUGCCCUAUUUAACGUGAAUGCAGCUGUCUCUAAUGCAUAACCCCAAAACUAUAGUGGUAAAUUAGUAAGAGACAUCAUAGAUUGCACCAUAUCUAAUAAAGUAUGAUUACGACGUUCAGACACACCAUUAUGCUGUGGUGUUCCAGGUGGUGUGAGUUGUGAAACUAUUCCACAUUGUUUCAAAUGAAGACCAAACUUGUAACUCAAAUAUUCACCUCCACGAUCAGAUUGUAGAAACUUUAUUUUCUUGUUACAAUGAUUUUCCACUUUACUCUGAAAUUCUUUGAACUUUUCAAAUGCUUCAGACUUAUGUUUCAUCAAGUAGAUAUACCCAUAUAUGCUCAAAUCAUCUGUGAAGGUCAAAAAAUAAUGAUACCCGCCACGAGCCCCAACACUCAUCGGACCGCAUACAUCAGUAUGUGCUAUUUACAAUAAGUCAGUGGCUCGCUCCAUUGUUCCAGAGAACGGAGUCUUAGUCAUCUUGCCCAUGAGGCAUGGUUCGCAAGCAUCAAGUGAUUCCAAAAGUCCAUCCGCAUGGAGUUUCUUCAUGCGCUUUACGCCAAUAUGACCCAAACGGCAGUGCCACAAGUAUGUUGCACUAUCAUUAUCAACUUUGCAUCUUUUGGCAUCAAUAUUAUGAAUAUGUGUAUCACUACGAUCGAGAUUCAAUAAACCAUUCACCUUGGGUGUAUGACCACAGAAGGUUUUAUUCAUGUAAAAAGAAUAAGAAUUAUUCUUUGACUUAAAUGAAUAAUCGUAUUGCAAUAAACAUGAUCCAAUCAUAUUAUGCUCAACGCAAACACCAAAUAACAUUUAUUUAAGGUUCAAUACUAAUCCCGAAGGUAAAGGGAGUGUGCGAUGGUGAUCUUAUUAACCUUGGAAUCACUUCCAACACAUAUCGUCACCUUGCCCUCAACUAGUCUCUGUUUAUUUUAUAACUCCUGUUUCAAGUUACUAAUCAUAGCAACUAAACCAGUAUCAAAUACCCAGGGGCUACUAUGAAUACUAGUAAAGUACACAUCAAUAACAUGUAUAUCAUAUAUACUUUUGUUCACUUUGCCAUCCUUCUUAUCCGCCAAGUAUUUGGGGCAGUUCCGCUACCAGUGACCAUUUCCUUUGUAGUAGAAGCACUCAGUUUCAGGCUUGGGUCUAGCUUUGGGUUUAUUCAUGCGAGUGGCAACUUGCUUGUCAUUCUUCUUGCAGUUCCCUUUCUUUCCCUUGCCCUUUUACUUGAAACUAGUGGUCUUGUCAACCAUCAACACUUGAUGCUUUUCUUGAUUUCUACUUUUGUCGAUUUCAGCAUCGCGAAGAGCUCGGGGAAUCGUUUUCGUCAUCCCUUGCAUAUUAUAGUUCAUCACGAAGUUCCAGUAACUUGGUGAUGGUGACUAGAGAACUCUGUCAAUCACUAUCUUAUCUGGAAGAUUAAAUCCCACUUGAUUCAAGUGAUUGUAGUACUCGGACAUUCUGAGCACAUGCUCAUUGGUUGAGCUAUUCUCCUCCAUCUUGUAGGCAAAAUACUUGUCAGAGGUCUCAUACCUCUCGACUCGGGCAUGAGUCUAAAAUGCCAAUUUCAGCUCUUGGAACAUCUUAUAUGCUCCGUGGCGUUCAAAACAUUUUUGAAGUCCCGGUUCUAAGCCAUAAAGCAUGGUGCACUAAACUAUCAAGUAGUCACCAUACCGAGUGUCGGUGUCAAAACCGGCGGAUCUCGGGGAGGGGGUCCCGAACUGUGCGUCUAGGCGGAUGGUAACAGGAGGCAGGGGACAUGAAGUUUUUACCCAGGUUCGGGCCCUCUUGAUGGAGGUAAAACCCUAUGUCCUGCUUGAUUAAUAUUGAUGAUAUGGGUAUUACAAGAGUAGAUCUACCACGAGAUCAGAGAGGCUAAACCCUAGAAGCUAGCCUAUGGUAUGAUUGUAUGUUGUUGUUCUGUCCUACGGACUAAAACCCUUCGGUUUAUAUAGACACCGGAGAGGGCUAGGGUUACACAAGGUCGGUUACAAAGGAGGAGAUAUCCACAUCUGUACUGCCUAGCUUGCCUUCCACGCCAAGUAGAGUCCCAUCCGGACACGAGAAGAAGUCUUCAAUCUUGUAUCUUCAUAGUCUAACAGUUCGGCCAAAGGAUAUAGUCCGGCUGUCCGGAGACCCCCUAAUCUAGGACUCCCUCAGUAGCCCCUGAACCAGGCUUCAAUGACGAUGAGUCCGAAGCGCAGUAUUGUCUUCGGCAUUGCAAGGCGGGUUCCUCCUCCGAAUACACCACGGAAGAAUUUGAAUACAAGGAUAGUGUCCGACCCUGCAAAAUAAGCUCCACAUACCACCAUAGAGAGAAUAAUAUUUCCACAAAUCUAAUUUGCUGACUUGUUUUGGCAACAUGACAUUAUGUCAUGGCCCGGUGAUUAUUCGAACUGUUUCCUUUAACCAGCCCCGCACAUAACGCGAGGCAGUUUUUCGACACGUCUUGUCAAAGCCGAGAUCGUGUCCCCUUAUCGCGGGAUUCUCAUCAAUACGGGUGUGGGUAACCCAACCGCGCCAUCGAUUAUGGCGCUCGGGGGAUAAGCGAGUUUUACCAGGCUAGUGGGGACACUUGAUUUCGUCCGCCCAUAUAAAGAGAUAAGGAUUCACCUUUUCAUCCACGCCUUCUUCCUCCUUUGCUCAUCCAUUUUCGCACACUCAAGCUCCAGUGCCCAAUUCCGCACUUCCCACCUCAACCUUCUCCAACCAUGUCCGGAGCGGGAGCCAGGUGGAUGGUCUCCUCCGUCACGGAGGGACACAUCAAGAAGCUGAGGAGAGCCGGAUACCUGCCCGAUGACAUCGCGCACCGGCUGCCAGAUGAGGGGCAGCUCAUCCCCACCCCUAGGCCCCAUGAGAGGGUAGUGUUCCUUACCCAUUUCCUCCAUGGACUGGGAUUCCCUCUCCACCCAUUCGUCCGGGGGCUCAUGUUCUACUACGGCCUGGAUUUCCACGAUCUGGCCCCGAACUUCAUCCUCAACAUCUCGGCAUUUAUCGUCGUGUGCGAGGCCUUCCUCCGCAUCAAGCCCCACUUUAGCUUAUGGCUGAAGACCUUCAAUGUCAAGCCGAAGGUAGUGGGCGGCCGCCAGGCGGAGUGCGGAGGUGCCAUGGUGGGCAAGAUGCCCAACGAUACAUGUCUCGAGGGCUCCUUCGUGGAGACCAUAAAGGGGUGGCAAUCGGGCUGGUUCUACAUCACCGAGCCGUGUGACCCUGCAUGGGCAGCGGCCCCCGAGUUCCGAUCUGGCAUCCCCACGUGGCUCACCUCUUGGAAAGAGAAGGGCCUGUCCUGGGGUAGUUCGGGAGAGCUGACCGGACUCCAAACAUGUAUUCAAAACAUGGUGAACAAGAAGCUCAAACUCGUCAACGUAGUCCAGGUCAUGCUCAUCCGCCGGAUCCUCCCAUGUCAACAACAGGCUUUCAACUUGUGGGAGUACGACCCGGCCCAGCACCAAACUCUGAACAGGCUCUUCGAUACAACACACGAGGAUGCCUGGAAGGUGCUAUUCAAGGGCGCCGAGGUUCCUCCUCAUACUACCGAGGAUCGCGGAUUCUGCGCGAAGUGCCAAGCCAGCGCGGUAAGCUGUUUUACCUUUUACAGGACACUUGUUUUACAUAGUUUGACUCUAUGCGGGAUCUAAGCUCCUGUUCCUUUGACAGGACUGACAGGAAAUGGCCGGACAGAUCGACUGUCCGGCUCCUUUGCCCGAAGGCCCAGCAAACGCUCUCCUGAUGGAGAUGCUGACUCCGGCUCCUUACAAGGUGCCAGAGAAGACCAAGAAGGCCAAGGGAACCCGAAAGAGUUCCCGACGCCAGGUUGUAUCGGACUCAUCAUUCGAUGACUCUGCGGCACACUCCUCCCCCGAAGACGAGGAGGAAGAAGAAGAUGCUCCCCCUCCAGACGGGGGAGACAAGAAAAGGAAGGCCGCCCCAACUGGGGGGCGAAGGGUCCAAGAAGGGAAGGACUCUCCUUCCGGACAGCUCCACCGUCGCCGCCGAAGGCGAAGACGAGUGGUUGCCCAGGGCCAAGCCCCUGGGGAGGUCGUGAGUAUUCAGAUACUAGAGUAACUCAUAGCAUUCCUUUGUCGCAUUGCUUUCCCUAAUGCCGAAUAUGAUUAUGCAGGCCAGCAUGAGCCCAUAUCGAUGUAUCAUCGGGCGGCUCCCUGGGCUCGUCGGAUAUGGAUAGCGAUCCACUUCCGACCGCCACCUCCCCUUGCCCUGCGGACGACGCCGAGGUGUUGUCUCAAGAGGCACCGGGUCGAGGGGAGACAGUCCCGGAGGCGCCUCAAGGCUUCCUUCCGGACUCCGGGAGCCGAGGGGACAAGGCCCCUGAGGGCCCCGAGUUCGGCCCUAAGCCGAACACCGCGCCGGAACCUCCAGCGGUUCCAGACUCGGGCAGGCGGCCUCCUUCUAAGAGGGGCGAGACGCCUGUGCCGGUGACCUCUGUCCAUCCAGAGGCACCGGACAAUCUGCUGGAAGCGCUUCGCAGCGCUUCCAUCGACGAGGAGCACCGUACUAUUAUGAGUGCGGUGGUCUGGAAGGUUCAGUCCGCCAAGAGCGGAUUGACUGAAGCCUGUGCCAGCCUUCUAACAGGCUUUGAGGUAAGUGUUUUGAAAUAUAGGAAAAAUAUUAUCGCAUAGACAGUAGCCCCUGAUGCUCUGUUCGGUGUUCGAAAAGAAAAGCCAAAGAGAGGAUCAAAUAAUACCGCAGGAGUCUAACAUAAGUAUGUCUAUAUGCGUAUGCAGGCUUCGCUGCUGGCCUCGGCCGCACUGACUGUGGAGGUCACCACACUGAAGCAGGACCUCGAGGGGUCCAAGAAAGAGCUCGGCCUUGCCAAGAGGCAGCUCGAGGAGAACAAGGGUAAGUAAUACCCUGUCUAUAGAUGUGUAUAUAUAAAAGAAAACGCGAUUGCAGAAUGACAGGAUCAUCUUAUAUUUGCCAGGGGCCACGAUCAAGGUGGCGUCCCUGAAGCAAGCGCUAUCCGAGGCCGAAGAUAAAGCGGCCAAGGAGCGCACCGAGUGGGAAAGGCAAGACGCUCGGGUGGGCGAGGUGCAGCGAGAGCUCCAGGCUCUCGUGACGAAGCACGAGGCGUUGGAGCUUGACUAGAAGACGCGAGAGUCUGAGCUUGCCGCGGGCCUCGAGAGCGCAAAGAGUGCCAAGGCCAAAGCCCAAAAGGCCUUCCAGGAGAUUAACAAGAUGAAGAAAAUAGCGGCGGGUAAGGCAUUCUAUAUGCAAAGCAAGCAUGUGAAAGUAAAUUACCUAUUACUUACCCGGAUCCGGAGCUCUCCAGGAGCAUUCGCAGAUUUGCCCCGCAGCAUGUCGGAUGCCACACAAUUUUACCAGGACGAGGAGGGAAGCUCAACGGAGAAGCUGUUCUGGUCUCAGUAUACUGGGACCGAACACCCGGUGCCUAUGAGCGACUAGCUGAAGCAGCUAGUCGAGCUACACAAGGCGGCUGAACAGGCCAUGAAGGGCUUUAUAGUCUGGCUGUGGCCUGGCGACGCCCUUCCGAACAGCUACUUCGGCCUGGUGAGGCGGCUUGUGGAUGCCUGCCCACGGCUGGAAGUCGUCAAGCGGUCCGUCUGCAUCGAAGGUGCACGCCGAGCUUUCGCCCGUGUGAAGGUGCAAUGGGCCAAGCUAGACGCCGUGAAGCUGAUCAAGGAAGGACCGCCGCAGGGCAAGGAGCAUCGCACCCCCGAAAUUUAUUAUGAGGGUGUCCUGAAGGGUGCCCGUAUUGUAGCGGACGAAUGUUCAAAGGAUGUAAUAUUUGAGUAAACUUGCUUGUGUGAUCCUGUAUGAUGAAAACUUGUUUCAUAUGCGCUAUGCAACGCUUGUUCGAAUUUAAAAUAUUACCUUCUGUUUGGCUGUUUAUCCAAUCUGAGAGAUGGCUAGUCCUCGGCUUCUGCCCCCAUGCCGCGAGUGCUAGGGUGUUCGGGAUAAACCUGAGCACUCUUGUUCCCAUUUUUGGGUCCUUCGAGGGAGGUGCUCAGCACAACAAACAAGGCAACCGGACUAAUAAUGCUUUAUCACUCUCACUUAGCCAUAGAAUUCUAUAAUUUUAAAUUUCGGCGAAGCCCCUGGUAUUCGGAAGGCCAAAUUCGGGGCGCGAUACACGCCUUUAAGACGGAUAGGACCGACUCCUCGCUCUAAGCGGCAUAAGUCUUUAGGGACUCGAAACCUCGCCGAACAGCGACCAGUCUCUCGCCUUAUCAUGACAGUCAGUUUUAGCUUUCUCUACUGAGGUGCUUAGCCUAGCAGAACCGGGGCACAAUCGCAGUAGUUCUCCUAGCGCUACCUUAGCCGAUAGAGCGGAACGUAAGGUACCAAAACAUAGGAGCCGGGCAAACCCAACAUUUGACCAAAGACAUGAUUCGGAGCCGAUGCAUAUAAUGCUAUAAGUUCGGGGUGCCGCACUUGUGAAAGUGUUCGGACUUCUCACAUCGUAUUGUGGGGUACUUAAGCCCCUGGUGUAUUGGCCGUACCAAAGUGUAUGGUUGCAAGGCGUCAUUAAUGAACACAUAUAUAUAAAAAGAAGAAUGCAAUAAUAGUCUUAGUGCUAUGCAUUGUUUAUUCAAAAAGAUGCGUUAAAGCAGAAUGAUACAGAUAGUGUGAUAAGCAAAAAGUAGGACUAUGUCCCUUCCAAGGGCAAGCUGAGGAAUAGUAUUAAACAAAUAUUUCACUCGUUAUCGUAAUCCACCUGGGAGUUCCGUGGUGUGACGUAGCUUUCUGCCUCCUUGGCUGUUGCGUCGUGUGUUCGGCAAUCAUGUUGCCGGACAGGGUUUCCAGAGAUUAAAGUUCUUAAAGAGAAAAAUUAACAAAGCGGGAAGCCCCUAGUGCGGUUUAAGCCGCGUAUUGGGGCAUGCCGUAGUUGUGUCCCCCUCCCCGCCUGUGCCCAUGGUAUUUUAAAUGCGUAAUUAUGUACGCAGCACGAAUUUCGAUGUUUGGCUGGGACUGGGCUGGGGGCCACAUUGCUACGCGAGCUCAGAUCAUGCCAGGCGGUCUAGUUGCCGAUUACUCCGAGCGCGCUUGAGGGUGUCCGGGUCUUGAAACGCCGACCUGGUGGAUUGCCUUGAGAGGCUGCUUUGCGCUUCUGCUACGAGGGCCGCAGUGUGCUCCUUCGUAUGGAGAGAGCGCUCUGUGUUUCCAUUAACUGUAAUAACCCCACGAGGUCCUGGCAUCUUGAGCUUGAGGUAUGCAUAAUGCGGUACCGCAUUGAAUCUCGCAAAUGCGGUUCGCCCGAGCAGUGCAUGAUAACCACUGCGGAACGGGACUAUAUCGAAGAUUAAUUCUUCGCUUCGGAAGUUAUCCGGGGAUCCGAAGACCACUUCCAGUGUAAUUGAUCCUGUGCAAUGGGCCUCUACACCUGGAAUGACGCCUUUAAAGGUCAUUUUUGUGGGUUUGAUCCUUGAGGGGUCUAUACCCAUUUUGCGCACUGUGUCCUGAUGAAGCAGGUUCAGGUUGCGGCCGCCAUCCAUAAGGACUCGAGUGAGGUGAAAUCCGUCAAUGAUUGGGUCUAGUGCGGCGAAUCCGCCAUGACGGAUACUAGUGGGGUGGUCCCUGCGAUCGAAGGUGAUCGGACAAGAGGACCAUGGGUUGAACUUUGGGGCGACUGGCUCCAACGCAUAUACGUCCCUGAGCGCACGCUUCCGCUCCCUCUUGGGGAUGUGGGUUGCAUAUAUCAUGUUCACCGUCCGCACUUGUGGGGGGAACCUCUUCUGUCCUCCGGUGUUCGGCUGCCGGGGCUCUUCCUCGUCAUCGCUAUGUGGCCCCUUAUCUUUAUCUUAGGCAAUUAACUUGCCGGCCUGCUUGAACACCCAACAAUCCCUGUUGGUGUGGUUGGCUGGCUUGUCGGGGGUGCUGUGUAUUUGACAUGAGUGAUCGAGUAUACGGUCCAAACUGGGCGGGCCUGGAGUCCUUCUUUUGAAUGGCUUUUUCCGCUGACCGGUUUUAGAGCCUUUGUAUCCAGCAUUGAUUGAUGUAUCUUCAGUAUUAUCGCUGUUAAUGCGGCGCUUAUGUUUGUUGCGACGUGACCUGCUAUUGCCGUCCUUGGUAUCCGAAGUACCAUGGUUCUUUGACAUAUUGUUACUGCGAGCCAGCCAGCUGUCUUCUCCCGCACAAAAGCGGGUCAUGAGUGUCGUGAGGGCUGCCAUAGAUUUCGGCUUUUCCUGUCUAAGGUGCCGGGCAAGCCACUCGUCACGGAUGUUAUGCUUGAAGGCUGCUAGGGCCUCUAUAUCCGGACAGUCGACGAUUUGAUUUUUCUUUGUUAGGAACCGAGUCCAGAAUUGCCUGGCCGAUUCUUCUGGCUGCUGAAUUAUGUGGCUCAAGUCAUCGGCAUCUGGUGGUCGCACAUAAGUGCGCUGAAAGUUGUUGAGGAAUGCGGCUUCCAGAUCUUCCCAACAGCUAAUGGACUCUGCUGGCAAGCUGUUAAGCCAAUGCCGCGCUGGUCCUUUGAGCUUUAGUGGGAGGUAUUUGAUGGCGUGUAAGUCAUCGCCGCGGGCCAUGUGGAUGUGGAGGAGGAAAUCCUCGAUCCAUACCGCAGGAUCUGUUGUGUCGUCGUAUGAUUCAAUAUUUACGGGUUUGAAACCCUCUGGGAUUUGAUGAUCCAUUACUUCGUCUGUGAAGCAUAGGGGGUGUGCGGCGCCUCUGUAUUGGGCUAUAUCGCGACACAGCUCGAAUGGGUCUUGCCCGCUGUGUUCGGCCCGGUCGGAUUUAUUUUUACUGUAUCCGGCAUGACGUUUAUCGUCUCGCAUAGUGGCGUGCCCCCGUGAUCCGUAGAUCGAUCUUGCAUGUUUUGCUUUGUCCUCCAAUAUGUCUCGCAGGUCUAGUGUAUUUCCCCAUGAUUUUUUAUUUGAAUGGCGUCGGGGUGCGGGCUGAGUUUUUGGCUAGAAUGCCUCUCUAUCACGGCCACAAGGUGGCCGAUCAGCCGCGUCAUACGCUUCUUCCUCCAGUCGAGGUAGCAACCUGCAUUUUGGGUAACUCUUGGAGGGGCGCUCGAGUUUAUAUUCCUCAGCCAUGAGGACUUCAGUCGAUCUGUCAGCUAGCAGAUCUUGAUCAGCUUGAAGCUGCUGUUGCUUUUUCUUAAGGCUAUUUGUCGUGGCCAUAAGCCGGCGCUUGAAGCGCUCUUGUUCGACGGGAUCCUCUGGCACGGCGAAUUCAUCAUCGUUGAGGCUUGCCUCGUCUUCGGAGGGGGGCAUGUAAUUAUCAUCCUCCGCUUCUCCGCCUGCCGCUCUCUCAGGAGGGCUGGCUCCUACAUCUUCCUGCUCUAAAUCUUGCUGGAGGGGAUUGUUGUUAUCUUCGGCACUAUCCGGAGUGUUAUUAUCUCCUAUGCGGUAUCACCACUUUUGCUUUGGCGGGACUUAGAGCGGCGCCGCUGAUGUCGGUGCAUGGGUUGCUUCUUGGAGGGGUCAUCCUCCGUUGUCUCGUCGCCACUGCCUUCUUUGGGUGUGUCCACCAUGUAUAUAUUGUAUGAUGAGGUGGCUCUCUAGUGCCAUGUGGGCAGUGGUUCAUCUUUGUCUCCCGCAUCGUCGUCCAUACCGUCGAUGUCUUCGGAGUCAAAGUCGAGCAUGUCGGUUAAGUCAUCGACAGUGGCUACUAAGUGGGUGGUGGGCGGGCCGUGAAUUUCUUCGUCGUCCGCAUCCCAAUCCUGCCGGACAUGGUUCGGCCAGGAUCCUCCUGACAAGAAGAGAGACCUUAACGAGUUCAGUAUGUCACCAAAGGGCGAGUGCUGAAAAAUAUCCGCAGAGGUAAACUCCAUGAUCGGAGCCCAAUCGGGUUCACUAGGAACGGGCGCAGGCUGUUCGGAGGCCGUGACCGGAGAGAGAUCCGGCAGUAUGUCAACACGGCUCUCAUACAGAGUAAGGUCGAUGUUCGACUCGAUCGCCGAUGAGGGUAAGGCCUCCGUGGUGGGGUCCAUCCACCCGUCCAUGGAUGGCGCAACUGGCUCCGAAUUGAGGGUCGGAGCGGCUGUCGCUGCGAUCUCCUGAACACUAUCUGAUGGUAGAGCUAAAUCAUACUCAUCAUGACCGUGUGACGCACAAGGCAGAGGCACGAAUUCGUCGAAGAUCAAGUCUCCGCGGAUAUCGGCCGUGUAGUUUAAGCUUCCAAACCUGACCUGAUGGCCAGGGGCAUAGCUUUCAAUCUGCUCCAGAUGGCCAAGCGAAUUGGCCCACAGUGCAAAGCCGCCGAAUACAAAAAUCUGUCUGGGGAGAAAAGUAUCACCCUGGACUGCAUCGCUAACAAUGAUAGAAGGAGCCAUCAAGCCUAACGGCAAUGACACAGAGAAACUCUCAAUGAAAGAACCAAUGUCGGUGUCAAAACCGGCGGAUCUCGGGUAGGGGGUCCCGAACUGUGCGUCUAGGCGGAUGGUAACAGGAGGCAGGGUACACGAAGUUUUUACCCAGGUUCGGCCCCUCUUGAUGGAGGUAAAACCCUACGUCCUGCUUGAUUAAUAUUCAUGAUAUGGGUAGUACAAGAGUAGAUCUACCACGAGAUCAGAGAGGCUAAACCCUAGAAGCUAGCCUAUGGUAUGAUUGUAUGUUGUUGUUCUGUCCUACGGACUAAAACCCUCCGGUUUCUAUAGACAUCGAAGAGGGCUAGGGUUACACAAGGUCGGUUACAAAGGAGGAGAUAUCCAUAUCCGUACUGCCUAGCUUGCCUUCCACGCCAAGUAGAGUCCCAUCCGGACACGAGACGGAGUCUUCAAUCUUGUAUCUUCAUAGUCUAACAGUCCGACCAAAGGAUAUAGUCCGGCUGUCCGGAGGCCCCCUAAUCCAGGACUCCCUCACCGAGCUUGUCAAACGUUCAUAACAUCUGCAUCAGCCCUUGUAAUAGGUCUGACACCUAGCGGUGCAUCAAGGACAUAAUUCUUCUGUGAAGCAACAAGGAUAAUCCUUAGAUCACGGACCUAGUCCGCAUCAUUGCUACUAUCAUAUUUCAACUUAGUUUUCUCUAGGAACAUAUUAAAAGAUAAAAUAGGGGAGCUAUACGCGAGCUAUUGAUCUACAACAUAGAUAUGCAAAAACUAUCAGGUACUAAGUUCAUGAUAAAUUAAAGUUCAAUUAAUCAUAUUACUUAAGAACUUCCACUUAGAUAGGCAUCCCUCUAAUCAUCUAAGUUAUCACGUGAUCCAUAUCAACUAAACCAUGUCCGAUCAUCACGUGAGAUGGAGUAGUUUUCAAUGGUGAACAUCACUAUGUUGAUCAUAUCUACUAUACGAUUCACACUCGACCUUUCGGUCUCCAGUGUUCCGAGGACAUAUCUGCAUAUGCGAGGCUCAUCAAGUUUAACCCGAGUAUUCUGCAUGUGCAAAACUGGCUUGCCCCGCUGUAUGUGAACGUAGAGCUUAUCACACCCGAUCAUCACGUGGUGUCUCGGCACGACGAGCUGUCACAGCGGUGCAUACUCAGGGAGAACACUUAUACCUUGAAAUUUUAGUAAGAGAUCAUCUCAUAAUGCUACCGUCGUACUAAGCAAAAUAAGAUGCAUAAAAGAUAAACAUCACAUGCAAUCAAAAUAUGUGACAUGAUAUGGCCAUUAUCAUCUUGUGCCUUUGAUCUCCAUCUCCAAAGUACCGUCAUGAUCUCCACCGUUACCGGCAUAACACCAUGAUCUCCAUCAUGUUGAUCUCUAUCAAUGUGUCGUCACAUGGUCGUCUCGCCAACUAUUGCUUUUGCAACUAUUGCUAUCGCAUAGCGAUAAAGUAAAUCAAUUAUAUGGCGCUUGCAUCUUAUGCAACAAAGAGACAACCAUAAGGCUCCUGCCAGUUGCCGAUAACUCUAACAAAACAUGAUCAUCUCAUACAACAAUUUGUAUCUCAUCACGUCUUGACCAUAUCACAUCACAACAAGCCCUGCAAAAACAAGUUAGACGUCCUCUACUUUGUUGUUGCAAGUUUUACGUGGCUGCUACGGGCUUCUAGCAAGAACCGUUCUUACCUACGCAUCAAAACCACAACGAUUUUUUGUCAAGUGUGUUGUUUUAACCUUCAACAAGGACCGGGCGUAGUCAAACUUGAUUCAACUAAAGUUGGAGAAACAGACACCCGCUAGCCACCUAUGUGAGAAGCACGUCGGUAGAACCAGUGUCAUGAACACGGUCAUGUAAUGUCGGUCCGGGCCGCUUCCUACAACAAUACCGCUGAAUCAAAGUAAGACGUUGCUGGUAAGCAGUAUGACUAUCAUCGCCCACAACUCUUUGUGUUCUACUUGUGCAUAUAACAUCCACGCAUAGACUUAGCUCGGAUGCCACUGUUGGGGAACGCAGUAUUUCAAAAAAAUUACCUACGAUCACGCAUGAUCUAUCUAGGAGAUGCAUAUCAACGAGCAGGGAGGGUGUGUCUACGUACCCUCGUAGACCGAAAGCGGAAGCGUUUAGUAACGCGGUUGAUGUAGUUGAACGUCUUCGUGAUCCAACCGAUCCAAGCACCGAAUAUACGGCACCUCCGUGUUCAGCUCACGUUCAGCUCGAUGACGUCCCUCGAGCUCUUGAUCCAGUUGAGGCCGAGGGAGAGUUCCUUCAGCAUGACGGCAUGGCGACGGUGAUGAUGAAGUUACCGGCGCAGGGCUUCGCCUAAGCACUGCGACGAUAUGACUGAGGUGUGUAACUGUGGAGGGGGGCACUGCACACGGCUAAGAGAUUGUUUGUUGUUGUUAUUGGGGUGUCCCUGGCCACGUAUAUAAAGGAGGGAGGGAGAGAGGAGGCCGGCCAGGUUGGGCACGCCAAGGGGGGAGUCCUAGUCCAAGUAGGAUUCGGCCCCCCUUUUCCUUUCUUCCACCAGAGGGAAAGGGAAGGGAGAGAGAGGGGGAGGAAAGAGGGGGCCGGCCCCCUCCCCUAGUCCGCCCCUAUCUUAUGGCCCUUUCUCCUCUCCUCCAAUAAGGCCCACUAAGCCCAAUACUUCUCCUGAGGGGUUCCGGUAACCACCUGGUACUCCGGAAAAAAAGCCCGAACCACUCGGAACCAUUUUGAUGUCCAAAUGAAACCUUCCAAUAUAUGAAUCUUUAUGUCUCGACCAUUUCUAGACUCCUUGUCAUGUCCGCGAUCUCAUCCGAGACUCCGAACAAAGUUCGGUCAUCAAAUCACAUAACUCAUAAUACAAAUCGUCAUUGAACGUUAAGCGUGCGGACCCUACGAGUUCGAGAACUAUGUAGACAUGACCGAGACACAUCUCGGGUCAAUAACCAAUAGCGGAACCUGGAUGCUCAUAUUGGCUCCUACAUAUUCUACGAAGAUCUUUAUCGGUCAAACCAUAUAACAACAUACGUUGUUCCCUUUGUCAUCGGUAUGUUACUUGCCCGAGAUUCGAUCGUCGGUAUCAUCAUACCUAGUUCAAUCUCGUUACCGGCAAGUCUCUUUACUCGUUUCGUAAUGCAUCAUCCCGUGACUAACUCAUUAGUCACCUUGCUUGCAAGGCUUAUAGUGAUGUGGAUUACCGAGAGGGCCCAAAGAUACCUCUCCGAUACACAGAGUGACAAAUCCUAAUCUCGAUCUAUGCCAACCUAACAAACACCUUCAGAGACAUCUGUAGAGCAUCUUUAUAAUCAUCCAGUUACGUUGUGACGUUUGAUAGCACACAAGGUGUUCCUCCGGUAUUCGGGAGUUGCAUAAUCUCAUAGUCAGAGGAACAUGUAGAAGUCAUGAUGAAAGCAAUAGCAAUAAAACUAAAUGAUGAUUAUGCUAAGCUAACGGAUGGGUCUUGUCCAUCACAUCAUUCUCUAAUGAUGAUCUCGUCCAUCAAAUGACAACACAUGUCUAUGGUCAGGAAACAUAACCAUCUUUGAUUAACGAGCUAGUCAAGUAGAGGCAUACUAGGGACACUUUGUUUUGUCUAUGUACCACACAUGUACUAAGUUUCUGGUUUAUAAAAUUCUAGCAUGAAUAAUAGACAUUUAUCAUUAUAUAAGGAAUAUAUAAAUAACAACUUUAUUAUUGCCUAUAGGGUAUAUUUCCUUCAUUUAUUCCAGCUCUUGAGGUCAGAUCACAAAUAUUUCGUGUUUCUACAUAACAAAGCGGCACUAUUGUUGACAUGGCAGGGUUUAUUCCAAGAGGAUUUGACCACAUUAAGAAAUCCCAGGUGAUUGAUCCAAUAGUUUUCAAAUUGUUUUUUUUUCUCUUGGGGAUUGAAGUUUCAAUGUUCACCACACACGGAGUAUGAUCCGACACUGGUUUCCCAAGUGUUGUGACAAUGGUGUUUGGGAAGGAUCAUGUCCAAUGGCAGGAGGAAAAGAACCAGUCUAUCUAUUCCAAUAGUGGGUCUGUUUGCAUGUUGCUCCAACUGCAAGAUCUACCUUUCAAGGGUAUUUCAAUUAGUGCUUGUGCCCGGACGAUAUCAUUAAAGAGCAGAAUAUCAUUUGCAUUACCCCCUAGUUUGUCUCGAUUAUUGGAGGAUCUCGUAAAAAUUUAGUCCCCCACUAAGAGCCAUUCAUCAGUAUCCGGGAUUACUAAAUCAUACAACCAAUUGGUGAAUAACAUCCGGUCCCCUCCACUGCAUGACCCAUACACAUUGAAUAAACUCCAUGAAUGUCCCAAAACUUUGGAAUUAAAUUCAAUACCCAAUGCAAAGAAAUCUGAAAAGGAACAUUUCCAUCAAAUGCAGAGCCAUUCCAGAUAAUAAUUAAGCCACCAGAUGCACCACAAGAAGGUAUAAAAAGCAAACUUAUCAAGCCGACGCGGGCAAAAAGUUUUAAUAUAAGUCUGAUCAAAAGAUGCAUGCUUAUUCUCCUGCAAGCAAACGAUAUUACAACCAGAGGCACUGAUCACAUUCUUAAUCAUUAAAGUCUUAUUGUCCGAAUUUAUUCCAUGAAUGUUCCAAGCUAGCACGUUCCACUGAAGGCACAGGGUCAUGGAAGCUAGGUUGAGGAAGACGGCGCACUCUCCUGUGUCGCUAGAAGCUUGGCAGGAGAGAGCUCCUCAACAGGGAUGCCGUAGCGCGUCGUACCAAUCCGCUGCAACAUUUGGAUGGACGUCGGAGGAGGGAUCACGCCUGGCGCCGCAAAGGUAGUGGUGGACUGGGUUGGAGCAACGGGGACUUGGCGAGGUUUGACCUUGAUAUUGUAUUGUCGCCCCUCCGCCAUGGACGUGGCCUUGAAGCCAUCGUAACGAUUAGCUCUGAUACUGCGGCGCAGGGUACUGGGAUCAAUCUCUCCUCCUCCAUGCUUCUUCUUCUCUUUGUGCACUAUGAUCAAAUGAACAACCUCAUCUUCCAUUGCCACAUUAGCAGAUAAGUUGGUGUAGUGACAUUUCUUGGCCGGCGUAGAAGAUAGUUUAGUCGACGGUUUUUCGCCCAUCACCUAAUAUACGAUCUUGCAUGACGGAGGAAGUGGUACCAUCAAGAUUUUAUUCUCUAUGACGGCGCUUCAGUGACGGUGGGGGUGACAGUCAGAAAACAUCGUCACUGUAUUUUUUGUGACGAAAAAGAGUUAUACAUGACACAGUUGAACCGUCGCAAAUUAGAGCAAAGUUUGUAUUGUGCCGCUUCAAAGCUAGAGCGGUACACUAGCUUGGGUGGAUAGAACUUGCCCAACUUCACAAGUGAGCGGUACAAACCACUGCCCCUAACAGUACAACUGGGUGAGUAGUUUCAGUGCAAAGCAGAUUUGAGUUCUCUCCUCAAAAUCAGAUAAGAAGGCUAGGUGGGUGCAAUAUGAGAUUUGUGUACAUGAUUUGAUUCCACCCGUACCUUCCAACACGGCCCCCCUUUUAAUAGGACCGAUUUCCUACAUCCGAAGAAAUAAAAGCGUCGAAAAUGCUGUCUUUGAUCUCUUCUUUCCAAAGGGGUAACUAAGCGUCUUGUGCCAUAUAGAUGUGUGUGUAAAUCAAGCACGCGGUUAGCCCGCAAAUUACGUUGUCAUCAACACCAAAAUAUACUUAGCGAGCGAAAUGCACUUCCAUCAUUGCAUUGGUCAAUGUAUGCUUUUUGUAUUACUACAAAUAAAGCAACAACGAUGUGAAACUAUAUAGUAACCGUUGCUCGACAAUUUUAAAUAGUUUAGAUCAACUGGGAGAGCUCCCUGACUCCAUUUCAUAAGAAGCCCGAACACAAAUGCCUAGUUCACAAGAAGCUUCAAUGGGAAACAUAAAAACAGACCUGCAGAAGGUGCUUAAUACAUAAAAUGGCACCGUGCAGCCUAAAUAGGAUUGCAUCAAAAACAUAUACAGAGAGCUAUAGAUGGGAGUCGGGAGGGCAGCAGAAGUCGAGGUCGAGCUAGGCAAAGAGCUGAUCAACGUUGUACAGUCAAUCUAGAACCGGAAAAACUGUCUUGCAGUUUUGAUAGCACUCGAAAAAAUCCCCUAGUACUCUUUCUGCAAAGAAAUACAGUAUAAGACAUCUUAGAUUACUAAGAUUUUAUAUUUCUUUAUAGAGUACGAGGCCACAACCGAGAGUAAAAAGUCCAGAAGGGUAGUAGAACCGUGACAAAGUGACAGCAGAGCACAUGAAGAAACAUAACGGCAUCUGUAGCUCCCAUGCCGAGCGGUAUAGGACUGUUGUCUCCAUCAUGCAGAAGAAGCCAGUGCGCGCCCUAUCCCGCAGAGCAAAAACGUGGCCGCGGUCAGCUAGCUUCACCCCACUCCACUCCACUCCAGCAAAAAUUUACUCGUAGCACCAGACGCCGCUACGAACUGAAUGCCCGCGUAGGUGUAGGUGGCUCCCCAAUAAUUCAGCGCCCAGCUCCCCCAGCCUUUUCCCUGAGCCCUGACGACGAAAUUUACUGCACCCUGCAGACACCAGGCCUGCUGCCUGCACCUGCACCUACACGGUGGGUGUCAUGCAAAUGCAACAGUCACCGCAAGUCGCUCGCUGCCUGCCCGGGUUCGUUCGUUCAAUGGACGGCACAUGCUACGUACUGCCACCGUUUUUCCGUGAAUUCGUAGGUCAAGAUCCCGGCCGAACAGCUACACGCUAGCACGAGCUGCAGCUAGGGUGCCAUCUGGUUGACAAGACGCCCUAGGUUUGUUGCAUUCACUCGUCGACGCCCCUCUGCUCAGGUUCAAACUACGAAAACGGGUGGCAGUAAUAAAAAUCGUCGGUGCUGCCUCGAGUCGCAGGCAGGCAGGUCGAUCUACUGGCCUUGACUCCUUGACUCCUUUGACCCCCUGUGGCAUGGAUGAACGACGGCGUAUGAGUCCUACUGUAUAUUCAGUUGAUGUCGCGUAGAUUCAGUCAGGUACGUACUACAUUGUUCUGAAACGGGAAAUGCUGAACGUAGCGGUACUAGUACUACUACUCAUACUUACUGUGGCUCAUUUCAAGCACCUUGAUGGCACAUCCACUCUUGCAAAACUGGCUGUCCUCGGCAGUGGACAUAAAUGCACAUUCAAGUUUCCAGAUUUCAAUAGCUGAUACGUAUAAUGCAGGUCCUGAUUGUGCAGCAACAGUGGCCAUCUGACCGUAUCUCACCGUGCGCCCAACUGAUGAGAUCUACUCGAUGCUCAAGGAAAGUACGACGGUGGAGUGCCGUUGUACCAAGAUCUCCCGCUAAUUGCCAAAUAAGCGUACAGAGGUGGUGGCCGUCCAGGCCAAGUGAGGCCACUGCUCCAAAUCAUUAUCCUCCGCCCAAAUUGGCAUAGUAAAACAAGGUGCACUAACAGAAAGCGUAUCCAUCCAGCCCGACGAAGGAUAAGCAGGCCCCCCUCCUCAUUAUCCAGGGCAAAGUUAAAAUACUCCAACAGAAUACAAGAUCUCGGCACUAAUCAUUCUGUGCAGAGGAAAACAACAAGCUAACGGUCAUGAAGCAUCAUUUCCCCGAUCCUCUUGGAUCAAUGGAGAUGGAUAACAAGAUUCAGACAAAAUGCACAGCACGACAUUACAAAGAUCUGGCCGCGGCCAUGCAAUGCACUUGUAAAAAUGAUGAGUAUUGAAGACAAGAGAUCCCAAGAAGCCAAGCAGGCCCCCACACGAAUCAAUUUCCUAACAGAGUACACAGAGAGUACAUAGGAGGAGAGAGGAGACACAGCCCGUAUCCUGCAUCAGUAGCCGUUGCUGCGGCGGGCCACAUGCGCGCCCACUAAGCUCGGCGACAAUGCCAUGGCACAGGAGGAGCAUCAUGCCAAGCACCACCCACAUGGCCACCUGACCUCCCCCCUAACCACGAGAUCAGAAACCCCAACGGCUACUUCCCCCACCCACUUGCUUGGCGGGCACAUGAGGCUGCGGCGCCAAACGCUAAUCUGAACUAGGAAAAGAAUUACAGAAAAAAUGGUAGAGUACAAGCUACUGAACUGAAUCUGACAUGACGAAUGCCGGCUGAGGGACGCCGGAGAGUACUAC